Molecule: long non-coding RNA, 84506 nt
Filed under: Ananas comosus (pineapple)
Lineage: Eukaryota; Viridiplantae; Streptophyta; Magnoliopsida; Poales; Bromeliaceae
Description: long non-coding RNA (ACOM_LNC028667)
Source: RNAcentral
AAUAAAAAAAAAAAAAAAUAGUACAAGGGCAUUUUUAAGGGCAUUGAGUGAAGUUCAGUUUUUUAAGGGAUUGAUAUGUAGGUAGAUAAUUUUGCAGGGCUAUAGAUAGAUAUGGUAUAUGCAUAAUGUAUCGGUGCACAAAUGAUUAUCCUGUUAGUUAUUUACUUGAUUCUGUCUUGUGUAUCUUAUUCUUUCGAUAUUUAUAUUGCUGCACUAAACUAUAUUUUUAACAAGUAUUGACACAAGUUUGACAAUAUUUAAUAACAAUUAGGAAAAGAAGUCGAACGAGGAGUAGAAGCAGAAGCAGAAGCAGAAGCAGGAGCAGAAGCCCUUAUGGUCAAAAGCAUGGUAUUGAAAGGAGAGGGGACAGAGGUAGAACAGUUGGAGUGUUGGUUCAACCUUGCAGAGAUUUUUCUUCUGGGCGAUGCAGGAGAGGAAAUCAAUGCAGAUUCCUUCAUGAGGACAGUGAUCGGAGACACUUUGACAGGCCUUACCAAACAGAUUUGCGGGAAGGUCGAUCUGAAAGGGCAAAAUACCAUCGUAACGAGAUUGAGAAUGAUUUUUCUGAUUCACGAGAACACAAUUAUCAUUCACGGAAUAAGCCAUCUCAGAGGCAAGGAGGGGGCCAUUUUGAUGAAGGUGGUAGUUGGGAAAAGCUUGAUCCACGUAGAAAUAACAACAAAUCAACUGAAAGAUGUUAUGAUUUUUCGAAGGGAAGAUGCCAAAGAGGCGCAAAUUGCAGAUUCAUUCAUCAUGAAGCUUCUUCCCACAGUGGGUAUAGUAUUAAAGAUGAGGCUAGGGAGCCUAGGGAAAGGGAAAGAGAAAGGGAAAGGGAAAGGGAAAGAGAAAGAUCCCAUUAUAAUAGUAGAAAUAAUAGUAGUGAGGUAUCUUUUGGCAGAAGUACUGAGACAAAAAGGGUAAAUGAUGAGCCCUGUAAGUUUUUUGCUGAAGGGCGUUGUCACCGCGGUGAGCGCUGCAGGUUCUCGCAUCAAAAUAAUAUGGAAGUUGGGACAAAUGAUGAUAAGUGGAACACCAAUCAUGAUGAUUUAUCAAGAAAUGACUCGAGUUGGGGUGAUCGAACUGCAAUUGUUGACGCAACCAACUCUCCUCAAAAUGCUCCUCCAGUCUCUCGUGAGAUGAAAAUAACUGUAGAGGCAUCUGGAUUCAAGGAUGGAAGCGGACCCGCGCUUGCAGGACCAAACUUGGGCCAUCCAUCCCAGAACCAAUUUAUCAAUCCCGGGGUUCCUAAUGUGCAAAAUUUUUCUCAAAGUGUCCCUGCGAUGCCUUUUAAUGGUCAAAUGCAACAAGUGGCCUUUCCAAUGCACCCAGUUGGGCAGAGUCAUUUCAUAGCUCAACAAGCCCCUCCUCAUAUAGGACUCAACCAACAGGGGAUUAAUCUUGGCGGGCAGAUUUCACAGAGUCGUUCUCAAUUGCUUCAAAGUAAUGGUCAAGGCCAACAGGAAAAACUCUUUGGUGGGCAAGGUCUACAUAAUCUUUCUAUUCAAAAUGUAAAAAUUCAACAGACUCUUUCUUCUGUGGAGGGACAAAGCCAAGAGAAAGUCAUUGUUCCUAUGCCUCAAAAUAGAGAAGGAAUACAGAAUGUCCAAGUAGGGAAAAACCAGUUUGAAACCCCUCAUACUACUUCGAGUUUAGAAAUCAAACUGUUGGAGCCAGGCUCUGGAACUUCGAUCGCCCCUAAAGUAGUGACGAGCGAGCAGGCUGCUCGAAUUACCGACCUUUCGGCUUCUUUGGCGCAGUUCUUUGGAAGUGCUGCUUUAAAUGCCAGUCCAAUGGGACUUGUGAUGCCUUUGAAUCCUACUGUACCCUCAUCUGUUUCUACUGAACAAAAAAAUCCCUUGAUGGAGGAACUGAAUAGAAAUUCAGCGAACUUAGUUCCUUUGACUAUUGCUGAUGGUAAAAGGGAUUCCAAGUCAGAAGACCACGAAAUUGUUGAAACCAAGCAAGUUGAGACUAACGCUCCUUCGAAGGAAGUCCAUGAAAAGGAGUUAGUCCAAGGUAAAGAAGAAGAACAGAAUGGUGUUCCUGAAGAAGCAAAUGCGGAUGUUGUGGCGGAUGGCGAGAAUAAGAAGAGCAAGGAUUCUAAAGCACUGAAAAUGUUUAAGUGUGCGCUUGUCGAGUUUGUUAAGGAUGUACUGAAGCCCUCUUGGAAGGAAGGUCAUUUGAGCAAAGAAGCUCAUAAAACUAUAGUGAAGAAGGUGGUUGAGAAAGUGACUGGUGCUAUUCAAGGUCCUAACAUCCCUCAAACCCAGGAGAAAAUUGAUCUCUAUCUAUCAAACUCUAAGGCGAAACUCAACAAGCUUGUACAGGUGAGUUAGGAACUUAAUCGUCUGCUUUCAUUUCUUUGUAUCUUCUCUGAAGUUUGGUAAAAAAAUUAUUGUUUGCUUCAUCUGCAAUACUUCUUUGUCCUGAUGCAGGCGUAUGUAGAGAAAUAUGUGAAGAGCUGAGCCUGCUCUGUGCAAAGCCAAGCUAUUUGUCUGUCAUCGUCCCGUCGAAAAGCUCCAUCUCUACUUCCAAUGAUGAAGUUUUUUUGUAAAUUUUGGAGGCUUUGCUAAUUGACUAGAGAAUGUUUUCUUCUUUCGGCUUCGGUACUUCUAUUUGAUACUAGACGGGUGUUUUCCGUGAUCUUUCCGAUGCAUUGAAGAAUUAUAAACUCAAACUUAUCUUUACUUGUGUCAGUCGGUGGCAAUGUGUAGAAAUGAUGCCCAAAAGUUUCUAUGCUCCUCUGUUGUGUCCUUUUGAAUAUUCAUUUACCUUGGCUUAUUUCACCAAUCAUGCAACCCUGCAACUGCGAGAGUUAAACUGAAGAUUGAGCUCUACAAAUUGUUGAUAGAUUACGCUCAUUUGUUACUGAGAAAUGCUCCGUAUGUAAAAUGGUUGGGGAUUUUGAUAGGCGAAAAAAAGGGUUGUAGCCUUGUAGGGCUCAUCUGCACUUGCGAAUUACACCCACCUUUGCAUCAUUGUAACCAUUCUCCACCAUGUAGAAUUUUGUCGUCAUUGCAUCUGGAACUAAAAGAGUAUAAUUUAAAUUUUAACUUCUAAAUAAAACAACUACUAAAGUUUCUCGCUUCAAAAUUAAGGCAUUGUGCCACUAAACAUGAAUAGUAUUGCUCAAAACAUGAUUUUUCUUUAAUCAAAUAAACUACAUCCUUGCAUGUAGUGACCCAACUACUCUGCUUUCAAUACAAAACUCAGUUGACUAAGCAAGGUUCCCAAUGGAUGCUAAAAGUUCGCCCACAGGAACACCAACAUACGUCCCACAAGAAAAGAAAAGCCCUAUAAAGGUAACCGCGACCCGCUUAUUUCUAAAUCAUCUCUACACUUGCGACAGCGCCGACAAAUGAGAUGGCGGAGACUCUGUCUCCACAUAGAGUCAUGAAUCACACAGCACCGAGCUCAGAUUCUCCUUUUGCCCCUCCACAGUAUUAUCUGACCGUCUUUGAACAAGAGAGGAAUGCAAGGCACCAAAUCCUGCAGUGAAAUCAACCUAAGCGUUAAAAGAGACUUCAAAAGUUUCUUGUACGUGGAGAUGCAGCGGCAUAUAGUAGGAAGUACAAAUAUACACUUUUCCUAUAAUUUCUGGGAACAGCAAAGAGCAUCGAUAAUUUCUGAGAUGCUACACUUAAAGCACCGAAGCCACCACUUAUUGUGUAUGAAGAAGAACACUGCAACAAAUACGAGGGCAUAGAAUACGUACUCUUAGCUUCACUCCAAUCUUCUUGCAAUCACUCGCAUAGACAUGAGCACAGUCUAGUCUCACCACCUCCGAAGUUUUGAAGGCAUCUCUAACUUUAUCCACCACAUUCACAUACACACCAUUCCUGGCUGCACGAGUAUAGCAGUCAAAUUGUUUGCCCUAGAAAAUAUCGAAGUAAAUUCGUUCAAGCAACACUCUUUAACUUUCCUACAAUAGAUUUUUUGAACCGACUUACUUAGUUUCAUCAGCGGCGGGGAAUUCAACCCACUGUUCCUCAACUCCUUCGUUUCCUCGAAACUGAGACCUUCAGCAACAUUUGGUACGAGCCUUGGAUAAAUAGGUGCGAGCGGUUUCCACAGCAUCAAUGGUACGACCGGCCUUUGCUUUGGAUCAUAGUACCGACCGCGAUAUAGAAGGAGAAUGUUGAUUCGCCUGUAGAUGAUUUUCCCUCCAGUUUUAUCCUGUGGGUCGAACUAAUAUUUUUAAGAGCAGUACCUACAAUAAUACGAUAGAGAACAAAUUUACCGCGUGUUUAAUGCAAAAUAGUGUAGCAUCACAAUUCACAACCUCAAGAUGAAAGCAAACGUUGUCCAUGUCGAGAGUCGGCACCCCCAAACAUUUGAUUCUCACAGCUUCAGCUCUCUUCCAAUGGUUGUGGAUGUCGUCAAGCAUAUUAUGCGUCACGCCAUCCUUUCCUAAGCAACAUCAAAUGUCACCUAUUUGUGUUAGAUGUUUAAAACAAAAGUUUGCGAUGAGCAGGUAGAAGGUAAAAACACAAAAGACACUACAACAAACUACAACGCAUUUUGAAAUGUGUACCUCAGAUUCAAAAAAUUUUGAUUUCGACACCCGACCUUUGAUUACUUUGGAUUUUGGAAUCUCUUUGUCAAGUUCUGUGAGAACUUAGAUAAAUAACAGAAUAUUAUAUUAGGGUACGGAAUUUUCCACUAAUAGUUUGUAAAUAUCAUUAAAAUUCCGAUAAAAGGCAAAACUUUAACAAGAAAAAAUGGCAUGAUUGUAUCAACCCAAGCAAGUGUAGUUUCGAGAAAAAAAGAAUGUUUAAUUUGAAUAGAUAAAAACUCAUAUGGCCUCGUAAAUGUGCAUAAAAAAUUUGAUUUUGAGAUCAAAAGGAGAAGGGUUGAGACCUAAAUUGAUCUGCCGGGAACAGUCGCUGUGUCGAUACCGCUCGAUCAGCUCCUCGAUCUCUUCCUCCGUGAGCGGCUCGCCAAGCACCGAGCUCCUCCGAUCGGCGGAUCCCACCACCGGCGCCGGCUCCGGCGCCGGCGCGACCACGCCGUCCCAUUUCCGGUCGAGGCGCCCGGGGCCGAAGGGGGAGAAGCGCGGGGGCUCGCGGAACCCGAUGGGCCGCACCGAGGGGUCGGACUCGGAGUAGGAGUAGCGGAAGUCGAAGGGGAGGUCGGAGUGGAAGGGGGCAGAGGGUUUGAUCUGAUUGGGGCUUAGGGUUUUGGGGAGGGAGUUGGUGGGUUUUGCCGGUGGGGAUUUGGGGGAGAUGGGGGAGAAGGGGGGGUCGUAGGAAUCGCGUGGAGGAGAAGGGGACUGGGAUUUAGAGCGAGUUAGGGUUAGGGUUAGGGUUAGGGUUUGGGGAGCGUGGUGAGGCCAUGGGAGAAGCCUCCGGAGCAUGAAGCGGGGACGAAGCCGAAGUGGAUUGAGAAUAGUCCGAAGUUAUACUCCCGGUUUAGGGAGUAACUUCUCGUCUUAUACGGUUAUACCCAUUGGGACUUUUUUAUAAAACAACCCUCUAAAGUUUUGAAAUUUGUGAAAUAACCCUCUCAAAAUUUUAUUUGGAAAACUAACCCUCUUUUCGCCACGUCGGCACCACGUCAGAAUUUCUUUUAAAGGCGGUGAAUCGUUCACCGUUUUCUCCUAUUUGUUUUAAAGACGGUGAAUCAUUCACCGCCUUUCACUUAUUUAUCCCAUAUAUAAUCCCAACAACCACAUAAAAAUUCUAACAAAUCAUAUAUAAUCUUAACAACCUUUAAAUCCUAAUAAUUUAUCCAUAUAAUUUCAUAUAAUCUUAACAGCCUGAAAAUCCUAAUAAUCUAUCCAUACAAUCCUAAUAAUCAAAUAAAAAUUCUAAUAAUCCACAUAUAAUCCUAACAACCUCACUUUUUUCUAUUUCCUAUAUAAUUCACGCAUAAUUUUAAUGAAUGCGGUGAACGAUUUACCGCCUUUAAAAGAAAUAGGAGAAAGUGGUGAACGAUUCACCGCUUUUAAAAGAAAUGGAUAAUGGGAGAAAACGGCGAACGAUUCACCGUCUUUGUAAGGAAACCCUGACGUGGCACCCACGUGGCGAAAGGAGGGUUAGUUUUACAAAUAAAAUUUUUACAGGGUCAUUUUGCCAAUUUCAAUUUUUUGGAGGGUCAUUUUAUAAAAAAGCCCUACCCAUUGGUUAGGUAAAAUUGCGUACGAACCCCCUCAACUAAGGCUAUUUUGAAUGUGACCCCUCGACUUUUUUUUUUUUUUGACACCCCUCUAAACUUCUAUUUUAUUUCACUCCAAUGGUUUCAGUUAAAGCAAUGCUACCAAUACAUCUCAAAAGGGGAUGUAUGAAUAAUUUUUUUCGCUAAAAAGCGAAUUAAAGACUACUAAAUUUGAAAAAAAAAAUAAUAAAUUUGCUGAAAUCUCCAAUUUAAUUGCCUAAGAUCAUCCAAUUCCAAAACAUCAAAAAGUUAAGGAGUACGUCAACAGACUAAAAAUAAAGUCGAGGGUGCCAUUUCAAAGUUCUCCUAUUGUUAAGGGGGUCUCCAGACACUUUUACCUAUAAAAGAUGUACCACAAAAAAAAAAAACAUUCUCAAAUUCUCAUGGUAGAUUUUUGAAUGAAAACGAAUAACUACAAUGAAAUCAAAUACAUACAUUGAGUAACUAUCUACAUACAUUGAGCAACUUUCGUCACUGAAAAGGCGAUUGCGCAGCAACACAAUUUACACAACAUUAGUACACAUAGUGAGCUAUUUAAAGUAUAGCUCGAGAAGCUUUUUCAAUGUGUCGAAGAUGCUCGUAAACGGAUUAAGUGCGAUCGGUGCCUUUAAUUCCAAAUCGGGAAACUGGUUUGUGAGAGCUGCGUUCAUCCCGGGCAUCGACAUCAUCAGAGCUAGCUGGCUAGAGGACAUGACCUCACAAUCUUGCGGAGUGUCUUUGAUUUCACUAGGGUCAUAUCCUAACAUUGCCAAAUACGAUUUGUACUUCUCGAUAAAUUCUGGACCUGGAUUGGGAGUUCUUGAAUAAAUCUGAUUUCCAGAAUUUCAAGUGUAAGCAUCAAUUCCAGGGAGAUUAUAUAGCACACGAACUAACUAGGCAUCACAAGGUACAAAAAGUUUAAAUUGUAUGCAAAAUAGAAAUAAUGUGAUAAAAUUACAUGCUUAACAUAACUAUUACCGAUUUCAGUUCUCCAGCGAACCACACCAUACGAUUUCUAACCAAAACACUAUGAAACUAUCAAAAAGGCUGAACAAUUCUGAGUUUUGCUGUACCUUGAAUUCCUGAAGUUCAUAGCUAUGUUUUUCUUAAUAAAACACGUGUGUGUGCGCACAGACACAAAACUAAAAUUUGGGGCUUCAACUCGGUUUUUAGGCUCUUUUCUUUUUCUUUUUCUUUUUUUUUCUUUUCUUUUUUUUUGCCACGCUCAAUGUGUCAUUGAAUCCGCUGACAUUUUCAUGCGUAAAAUUAAGCUGAAAGUUUCGACCGCAUUACUAUUACCUAUCAAAUUCCAAUGUAGGAAUCUACUGAAGAACUUUGCAAUUUGUUUUACACAUAAAAUUCAGAAUAAUAGGCACAGAAGUAUUAUUGCUGACAAAUAUGAAAAGCGACUCAAAUGCAGUAAUAGUAUUACUUACCUGAAUGAAGCUCUUAUCUUUAGCCCCAGAAACAAGCGCGAAGUUGUCAUAAUCAGUCGCAAUCACAUCAUAGGGUUCCUUAGGUAUAAACGGUAGUGUUGGGAAACGAAGGUAACAUUUUCCCUCAAUCGUUUCCAGCCGCUCCAUAGCAGUUACAGUUUUCUCCAUAUCCUCCUCAGAAAGGCACUGAACCCUUCCCCUUAUACCAGUAAUAUAUCCGUUAGGGCCACCAUGGACACAAAAUGUAUCCACCUGGAUAGCUGGGAUCUUCGCAUCAAAUGUAUAGACUCCCUGAAAUCUCACACAAAAGUUUCCUAAAUUAGCAUAAUUUUACUGCUGUAAAAUGAAAAAGGGGCUUUUACAUGUAUCCCUCCAAUAAGCUCUGACUUUUACUACGUAAACAUCGUAAGUAGAGUCUCUUGCGAUAAUACCAUUAAGUUGCAGAGUCAUCCAAUUCAUGCAGGGAUGUUGGUUUUGUAUUAGAAAGAGUUUUUUUAAGGAGAGGCAUUUUGUAGUUACAGUAAAUUCAUCAUAACGAUGCCUUAAGCCAUAUGUUUACCUGCGUACAAUGGCAGUCUUCUUGCCCUUGGCCGGCAAAUCCGCGUUUCAGUGAAGCUACUUCAAACCAUCUUCCUGAAUAUCUGAUGGGAUCGAAAUUCUUAGCUGUCAUACCCCUCAUCAUAAGCAUCCUACUUCCAUCUUCCAACAUGGUAUCCACUUUUAGAGUAGAACCAUUGUCUGCGGCAGCUGCAAUCUGGCAUAAGCUCCGGUGGCCAGAGGGUUCCGCAGCGAAAGCCUGAUCUUUUAACCGUAAUAAGUCUUUAAUCUUGUAACAAAAGUAAACUUUUCAUUUAAUCUUUUGAAAUUUAGUUUCUUCGAAAUUUAACGGGGAAAGAAUAACUCUGUAAUUCUGGUUGUGUGCUUAAAUGCCAGUAUUCUUUACGGUGAUAACUAUGAGUUCCGACAUUACAUUGUACACAACUCUUCUUACUGUUUUAGUUCUUCCGCGGCCCUUUAAUAAAAAUUCGACAUUCUUAAAUAUACCAAAAUAGCAACACAUAUCAUUACCAGGUUUGGUGGAGAGACGAGCAUUAUUGAAGCAGCAAAACAGGAGAGCAGUCGUCUAGAUAUAGAAUCACCACAAGAUGUUGUCUCCCUCGAAGAGCAUUUAAUAUUUUUUUCUCCUGGAAAGGAACAUUUCCUCCUAAAGAGACAAAAGCGAAAAAAAAAAGAGGUUAUAUGAGCAGCCAAGGAUAAUAAGGCUACAGAUAAAUACGCUAAAAGGCAUUGAACUUUUAACUGGAAUACAAUAAAACAGAUAACUUUUUGUUCAUGAUUUUCAUUGAAGAGUGUCUCCUAAAUAAUAUGCAUAUGUAGUUGGUUGAAAACUUUCAAUCCUAUUUGUGGACCGUUUCCUACCAAAUCAAUCUCGCCGAUAUCAUGGUGUCAAAGCCGUUCCUAAGCCCUCUCAGUUCGGAUGGCAUAGUUCGACUUUUCUCAACCAUCCAUCCACAAGAGCGGAGAAUGCUAAGAUUACUUCUAGACAGUUUCAUAUCUGAUCGAUCUUUUGGGUAAUCACCAUAUCCCAUUAAUCUCCAUAAUACAACAUAAUUACCUCUUGCAACAGAUUAAAAGUAUCCACAUUGACAAUUUGUCAAACACCUUCAUGGCAUAUGAAGAAUACAAGGGAAUCCAUCCUACACUACUCAAAUUAAGUAGAAAAAUCCCACCUUUUUAGACCACAAACAUACCGACCAAUCAAAUUUGAAUAAACCCAUUUGUUAAAGUUAGAAAAUUAACUGUAAAUUACAACCACAAUUCCUAGAGAACAAACCAACCAGCCAACCUAAAAGAGACGGAGAAUUAUAACAAUGUUACUUAGAAUAAUAUUAAGUCGAAAUUACUUAACAAUUUUUUUUUUUUUUUAAGAUUCACUAAAAAAGCAUUGAUUUUGAAGGGAAAUUUGGGAAAUACCGGAAAGAGGGAGGUGGAGAUGGGGGUGGGAUUCGAAGUAGAGCAAAAGCCAUGGCCACUCGAAGAGUGGAGAACCAAUCCGGGAAAUGUGAUUGGUGGAGAAAGAUAAGGGAAUAUUAUUAUGUGGACGAGGUUCACCACGUCAUCUGUGGACCGAGAAAGCUACGUCCCUUACCUCUCACCUUUCUUUGAAAUCUCCACCGUCCAUUUAGUUUUAGUGUUUUUAAAUAUUUUUUUGUAAAUAUUGCGGUGAGGAUUUCAACAAGGGAUUAAAUGGACGGUCGAUGGCUAUGCCGUUCAUAGAUGACGUGGUGGACGGAGUUCGAGAAUAGAUUCUGUGCUAAGCAUUCACUAAUUAUCUGCCACGUGGAGUUUCUUUUUUCUUUUUUUUUAUGGGUAAAACUAUUUGUUGGUAAACUCUUUUCCAUUUUUAAAAACAUGAUAUAUUAACUUUAAAUUAAUGGAAAUCACCCCAAAUCCCAAUGUCUAUGAAAUGGAGUAUUGCACACACACACACAUAAAAAAAUAUAUAUAUAUAUAUAUAUAUAUAUAUAUAUAUAUAUAUAUUGAGGUUUUAUUUUUAAUUUUUUUGGCUUUUGGUCUUCUAGCAAUAAAGUAAUUUCAACCGUUACAUAGGAUCAUUAUUAAUUCAACCGUUACUAUUAAAUUAAAGAAAUUUAAAUCACCAAAUAAUUAUGGGGGACAUUCCAAAAGCUUCUACAAUGUUUUAAAACCUUUCAUUAUGAAAGGUCUAUAAAUUAAUCUCUCUUGUUGUUGUGUAUUUCAUUUCAUUUCAUAUAUAUGCAUUUUUUUUUUUUUUACUAUAAACUUAAUUAUUAUUACUACUCUCCAAUGGCUUCUACCCAUGUUAUUUUUCUCUCCUUCCUCCACUUUCUAUUGCUUCUCUCCUACCUCAAUCAUGGUACCAUUUUUUGUAAUUAGCUCAAACAUUUGAAACUUAAACUAUUUCUGCAUAAAAGUUCUUACUUUAGUUUCCUUUAUAAAUUUAGAAAUUGAUUUCAUAUUUCUUCCUGGUUUUGACCAAGUUUACAUUUUGUUGGUUGCACUUUUUUUUUUUGACUUCAGGUGAAUGCAGUGGGCUAACUAGUUGCCAGGUGCAUAGAUAGUAAAUUUAAUUUGGUUGGAAAAUAUUUUUACUUUCUUAAUAUUUUUACCAAGUUUUUGAGAAAUUUUAAUCUAUGUGACACCUUUGAAUUCUCCCUAGAAAACAUGGUGUGUAGCAAAGGCUUCAGCUGAGGAUAGAGAUCUGGACGACAUAAUCCGGUUCGCGUGCAGUGAAACCAACUGCGACCCGAUCCAAGCCGAUGGACCGUGUUUCGACCCGAACACCCGAAUUUCACACGCUUCAGUGGCCAUGAAUCUCUACUACCAAUCUAGAGGAAGGAACCUUUGGAACUGCUACUUCAAUGGUUCUGGGCUUAUUGUACUCACUGACCCAAGUUAGUACUAUCCUAUGCAUGUUUGUGUUGUUAAUUUUGUAAGUUUUUAUGUUUUUAAUUCCCUUUGGUUAAUGGCUAAUUAAUCAUGGUUAUUUUUGGGUUUUUUUUCCUAUCUUUUUUGAAGGUUAUGGAAGCUGCAAGUAUGCUUAAGGAGCUGUGGAUUCUCCUAGAUGAGCAAGAACUUGAGUUUAAUCUCAUAUAUAUUAGCCUACUUGUUUAGUUUUUGUAUUUCCUUUGUCUUUAGUUUCAUGGAUGUAAUUGUUGUUCGGUACAUUUUGUUGCGCGGAACUAUGGAAACAAAAUAUUUUCUUUUUACUUGUUGUUUUCACAUUACAUGAAUUUGUGUUGGUACUUUUUUUUUUUUUUUGGUCGAAGAUAUCUGUAGGCCGCACGCAACACAUCAGUCCACUCUAGAAAGAAUCAUACCAAUUUAUAUAUUGUAUUAACUUAGGAUUUUUCUUAAUAAUUCCAUGGCGUGUUUGAACCGUGAUUAUCGUGUUGCGCCCAAAAUUGCAUAUCCAAUUUUCAGAAAAUUUAUAAAUUGUGUGAACUAUGUAGAAUCUCCUUUUGACUUGACUUAUUAGACUUGUGAGUACUGUAAGUAAGCACGUGGGUGAGCAACUAAUGCUUUCAAUGUGGGUCCUUUUUAAUUUACUACAUCCAUCCAUCCAUCCAUGGGCCAUGGGGAAAGGGCUAGCCCAUCUUCUUCUGCACACAGUUCACACAUUUUCUCACACAAAUAAGCUCAGGUAUUUAACCACAGAAUCAUGGAGCUCAUAAGCUAACAAUCAUCAUCCUCGUUAUCAAUAUUCAUGUGUUUAACCUCUUCUUCUUCAUUGGGCUUCUUUCUAAAUCUCAGAACCAGUUAAUAAUGCACAGCUGUUUCUGUGUGUUAAGGUUCUCAGUAAAGGCCCUUUCACAUUUUCAUCUAAAAAGUUGCAACCUUUUUCCCAGAAAAAGUUAAAGGGAAGAGGAAAAAGUUAAUUUUUUGUGCUUGACUUUUCAGGUUUUAAGCUUCCUCUUGCUUUUUCUCCAUCACUUCUUCUCUACAUUCGUCUUGCACUAAGUUUAUCUUGUUUCUUUUUAUCAUCCUGAUCAGGAUUUCGAUUGAAGGUUAGUGUUUUCCUUAAAAGGCAAAAAAAAAGGUCCAAUUUUUGAGCGUGAUUGAGCCUGUGUUUGGUGUUUUUCUCUUGAUUACGAAGUCAAGCUGAAGUUACAAUUUUUCUGGUAGAUGUCGAAAGAAGCUUCUGAUCUGAGAUGAGUUUCUUAAAAAGUGAAGAAAUUGGCUUGCCCUAAGCUCAAAAGGGGUUUGAUGAUGGCCUAUGUGAAGAUUAUUAGUGUUCUUAGUUUCCUGCUUUUGGGCUUUAAUGGUCUCAGCCAUUCUGAAAGGCCUUCUGUUGUUAACAUUGGUGCUGUUCUAACUUAUGAUUCUCUCAUCGGCGGAGUCGCAAAGGCCGCGAUCGAGGCUGCAGUCGCCGAUAUCAAUGCAGAUGAGACUGUUCUUCGCGGAACCCGGCUGAAUCUUAUAAUGCAGGACUCUAAUUGUAGUGCUUUUAUUGGAUCCAUUGCAGGUAAAUCCAUCUGAGUCUUUUUCUUUCUGUGUUUGACGAGAAUUUAUAGUUGUCUAUAUGUGUCAAGUUGGAUUACUCUUUCAGUUUAGUAUCUUUACGGCUUCGUAAACAGAUUGUAGUAUGCUGAUUAACAAAUGUACUAGUUGAAGUGGUUUAGCAAAUUUUGUAGUAUAUCUAGUUCCCGUGUUUUGCAUCGUGUUUUCAGACGCUGUUGCUGCAUCAUAACAAUGUUUGCUGUUUCCAGCACUUAGAGUUCUCGAGGAGGAGGCAAUAGCCAUUAUCGGGCCGCAAUCCUCAACAAUAGCUCACAUGAUAUCAUCUCUCUCUAAUGGCCUCCAAAUACCACUUGUAUCCUUCUCAGCUACCGAUCCGACCCUCUCCUCUCUCCAGUUUCCGUUCUUCGUCCGCAUGACACCUAGUGAUUCUUAUCAGAUGGCCGCUAUGGCCAAUUUAAUUGAUUAUUAUGGGUGGAGACAAGUAAUUGCGAUUUUUUACAGACGAUGAGUAUGGCAGAAAUGGAAUAAAUUCUCUAGAUGACGAGCUCGCAGAAAGAUUGUCAAAGGUCCACAAGAUUGCUUUACCAGCAAGUGCUUCGGAAGAUAAAAUCUUGGAUUUGCUGAAAAAAUCAAUAAUAAUUGGACCAAGAGUUUAUGUUGCACAUGUUAAUCCAGAUUCCGGUCUUAAGAUCUUCUCCAUUGCCCAAAAUCUUGGAAUGAUGAGCGAUGAGUAUGUUUGGCUCGCAACAGAUUGGCUUUCUACGGCUUUAGAAACAUCCAAAACUGUUAAUUUUGAUUUAUUGAGUGACCUUCGAGGAGUAGUUGGUUUUCGCCCGCAUAUCCCAAACUCGAAAGUGAGAAGUGCUUUUAUAUCAAGAUGGAGAGAUUUGCAGCGAAAGGGGGGAAUUAGUGCUGAACUAAACGCUUAUGGCUUUUACGCGUAUGAUUCAGUUUGGGCCGUUGCUCAUGCGGUUGAUGAAUUUCUCAAUGAGUUUGGAAAUAUAACAUUUUCUUCGAACAACGCGCUAAGUUCUGCAAAAGGAAAGAUGCAACUUGACAAGCUCCGAACGUUCGAUGGCGGGAACCUGCUGCUUAAGAAAUUACUGCUGUUGAAUUUCAGCGGCUUAUCUGGCCCAGUCAAAUUCGAUAGCAAUAAGAAUCUCGUAGGCAGUACAUAUGAAAUUAUAAACAUAAACAGCGCACAGAUCCAAACAAUUGGAUACUGGUCUAAUUAUACAGGCUUGUCUAUUUCUUUGCCUGAUACUAUGCACGGGAACAAUAAGAGGGAUCUAAGAAUGAGUAAGAGACUUGGAAAUACUACUUGGCCUAGUGGAAAGACAGAAACGCCGCGUGGUUGGGUCGUCGCAGAUAGUGAAAGGCCACUACGGAUUGGAGUUCCUUAUAGAGCCAGCUAUACUGAGUUUGUAGGAGUAGAAAAAGAAAAUCACACAGUUAAUGGAUAUUGCAUUGAGGUAUUUAAUGCUGCAACUCGAUUGAUUCCGUAUGAUGUCUCGCAUCAGUUUGUGCCAGUUGGUGAUGGACGGUCGAACCCAAACUAUGAUGAGCUUGUGAGAAUGGUUGUUGAAGAUGUAAGUACAAAAUUCUAUCACCUCAGUUUUGGACUUUGUUGCUUUUAUGAUUUUCUGGGGGUAAAUUAUGCAACUGGCGACUGAACUUAUGGCAAAAUUUCACUCGGUUUACUAAAACUUAGUUUGUUGCAGUUGAUGUGCCGAACUUCUAUUUCUGUUUUGAUUAGAUCGCAAUGGUAAACUCUGUUUAAUUCCCUCAAUUGAAGAUGAUGUGGAAGGUAAAUUAGCUUCGACUUAGUCUCCGACUUAAGGAAAUUAAGCAGAGUUUGACUGAGGGAUCUGGUUGAGGUAGGAUUUUCGGUCAUCAACUGCCCAAUUUUUUCAUCAGUAAGAUAAUAAAGAUGAAAGAAAUUUCAGGUCAUUGAUGCAGCUGUCGGGGAUGUUGCAAUCGUCACAAACCGGACCAAAAUUGCUGACUUCACCCAGCCUUAUAUCUCUACGGGCCUAGUCAUAGUGGCUCCAUUGAAAAGUAUAAAAUCGAAUGCUUGGGCUUUCCUCAGGCCUUUCACGAUUAGGAUGUGGUGCGUGACUUUUGCAUUUUUCUUCAUGAUUGGGAUGGUUAUUUGGCUGCUCGAGCAUCGGGUGAAUAGCGAUUUUCGGGGCCCACCCAAGAGGCAGUGCAUCACCAUGCUCUUGUAAGAUAUUUACAGUACUAGACUCAUGCAUGUUAUUAUGGAAGCUUCAGUAUGUCUAUCUUAUUUUAAUUCUACUUUCGUUAAGCUUUACUGGCAGUUAUUGAUGUUAGCUGCGCUGUCGUACUGCCUAUACUUUGGUAAAUUGGGAGUCUAGUUGUAUUCAUUUUUUUUCUUUUAAAUGUUCCAUUAUAGUUACGAAAAAAAAAAGAACUGCAACUGCAAUUAGCACCUUGUCUUGUAGUUUGUGAAGAUUUGUGCUAAAAAGAUUUAUUAUGUUUUUUUAAAAGAAUUUAAGCAUCUAAUAUGUCUAUAUUUUCCUUAACAGGUUUAGCUUCUCGACGCUCUUCCACUCACAGCGUAAGUGAAUUUACUCAAAUCAUUCUCAACAACUAAUAAUAGUCCAGUAGAAUCAUUAUGCAGAUAACUGACGAGAUUAUGCACAAUAACAUUACGUUGUUUUGUUUUUGUUUCAGAAGAAGAUACUUUGAGCACGCUUGGCCGAUUCGUCAUGACGACAUGGCUAUUUCUCCUUAUGGUUAUCACAUCGAGCUAUACAGCAAGCUUAACAUCAUUUUUCACCGUUCAACAGUUGUCGUCUCCAAUGAAAGGAAUUGAUAGUCUAAUAGCAAGUAAUGCGCCUAUUGGUUAUCAAACUGGGUCUUUCGCUCGAAGUUAUCUUAUAGACGGUCUUGGUGUCCAUCCUUCGAGGCUCGUUGCUCUCGGAUCUCCUGAAGCUUAUGAAGAAGCAUUAAAACUCGGGCCUAAAAGUGGCGGUGUAGCGGCAAUUGUCGAUGAGCUUCCGUAUGUCGAAAUAUUUUUGUCGAAGACAAGUGGGUUUGACAUAAUUGGACAGCCAUUCACCAGAAGUGGAUGGGGAUUUGUAAGUUAAUUCUUUUAUUAUAUAUGAAUAUUUGUUGCAUGGUACCCUGCAAAUCACCUAUUUACGUAUACAUCUCGACAAAAUUUGAAUUUCGUAUAUGCCCUUCAAAAACUUGAUUUGUUGUACAUGCAUAAUUUUGCAUACAAAACUACCCCUCUUUAAAAUAGUUUCUCUGUUACAAAAUGAACUCCCUCCAAUGAAUUGGAGUAAGAUGAGGGCGUUUUCAAAGAAACUGGAAUUUGUUCUUAUACAUGAAAAUCCAUAUUUUAUAUUGGUACAUGGAUUAUUACAUUAUCGUUUUCAUUGUCGAUAAUUAAGUACUUUGCACUUUUCGCUAAUAGGCGUUUCGAAGAGAUUCUCCCCUUGCAGUUGACAUGUCGAGAGCAAUCUUAGAACUUUCUGAAAGCGGAGAACUCCACAGAAUUCACAAGAAGUGGUUUUGCAAGACAAACUCAUGUGCUGCGCAGGGAAGCGGGAAUUCUGAGCCAGACCAGCUGCACUUGAGCUGCUUCUGGGGGCUAUUUCUGGUUUGUGGGGCAGCUACUAUUAUUUCUCUCCUCUUUUUUCUUCUACGGUCGAUUCGGCAAUUCAUUCGCUAUCGGAUAAAACAUAGAGAUCCUGCAUCAGAUACUGAGCUAUCAAAGAGGGGCUGUUCUCAAGCCAUUUAUAGCUUCUUCAAUUUCAUUGAUGAGAGAGAAGAAGCCAUAAAAGCCAUUUUCAGGCAGCAGCAGCAGCAGCAGCAGCAGCAGCAGCAGCAGCAGCAAAGCACUUCUCAGCCUCAGAAAAGCUGAUUGUGCUGUUACUAGUUCCACCUUUCUCUGUUUGUAGAACAUAAGAGGAAGUUAAUAUGUAGCUUGUAAUUUACUUCUUGUAACGUAAAUCAUAUAUAUUUUCCGUGAUGGUUAAAGCCAUUUCGCGACUUAUUUAGCAGUGUUAAGGUUGGUAACUGGUGCCAAAUAUGUAAAAAAAAAAUUUCUGUUGCUAGAACUCAUGUGAUUGUGCCAAAAGCUCUAGAAUUUUUCUGUUCAAAAUUUUAGCUUUCCUUCGCUUUAUGAGUUGGGAUUAUCUUUGAUUUGAUCAUUACUUGUCCAUAAGAUAAGACAUGAAUAAGUUGGCAUGGUUUAGGACGCUGUUUGGUUGCAUGUAAAUGAGGCCAAAAAUAAGUUUUUUGCACUAAAAUUGAGAUCUAUACGUCUUUGUCUCCUGCAAAACAGUUUUAUGUAUUUUACAGAGAAACUCUUUUUAUGUAUGUCCUGAAUUCAUAUUAUACUAAAAUAAAUACCAAUAAAUGUCAUUUUUUUGGAAAAAAAAAAUCUCUCUUUUUCAAAUUGUUUUUAAGAGAUUUUACGCAGAAUCAGUAACAAAAAAUUGCCACAAGUCUACUUGACUUUGCUUUCAAAAAGAAGUCAACUGCCACCAGCAAACUACCAUUAACACAAGGGAAAACUUCAAAUAUCACCCAUGUGGUUUCACACAUUCUCACUUUAGUAUUCUGUUGUUCAAAGCGUAUCAAUUUAGUAUUCUCUGGUUUCAUUUUUAUUUCUUUUAUUAUCGAUUUCACUAAUUUUUUUCGUUAAAUUAGUGACAAAGUUAAAACUAAAAGGUAUUAAAGUGAAUAUUCGAUAAAUUUAUGUAGAGUAUCUGAAACUUUUUGUAUACAAUUUAACAAAAUAUUAACGGAGAAGCUCACGAAAAGAUAAAAAUGAAAUCACAGGACAUGAACUUGAUAUACUUUAAACUACAUGGUACUAAAGUGAGAACGUGCGAAACCACAGAGGUGGUAUCUGAAGUUUACCCUUAACAUAAACUACUUAAAAAAAAAAAGACCAUUAACGUAUAAAAAGAGGUCAUCCACCAUUAUAAUAAACUACUUAAAAAAGAAAGACCAUUAACAUAUAAAAAGAAGUCAACUACCAUUAACAUAAACUACUUAAAAAAAAAAAGAAAAGAGCAUUAACAUAUAAAAAGAAGUCAAAUUCGCAUUAAGCUACCAUAAAGAUAGAACUCCACCAAAAAGAAGCCGCAUUUUUCGCACUAAACUACCACAAAAUAGACGACUUGCAAAAUGGGGUCAAAUGAGCACUAAAUUCACACAUCACUAUCACCAUCAUAGAUAUUCCCUUGUCCGAGAUUUUUUUGAAGUAACGAUCAAAAUUUGAGAACAAAUUUCUACGAUUGGAUUUGUCUAUUGUACAUUCGCUCCAAAAUGACACCAUCAUGUUGCAUUUUAAAGAUUGUGUGGGUAGGACGCGAGUUUUAUAUUAUCUCUGAUAUCAUAUUACAUAAAAUUUUUUGAUAUUCUAUUAUUUUAAAAGAAUUAUGGGACUCAACAUAUUUGGAAUAGCAAAUGCUUUUCCUAAAGCCAAACAGAAAAAGAGCGCGCUCUAAAAGUAAAAAAAGUAUUUUACUAUUAAUAGCAUUACAGUCUAAUUCUAUAUAUAUAUAUAUAUAUAUAUGGCUGGGGAUAUUAUACUCUUAUGAGUAUAGACCCUCUUGUACUCAUAAAUUUUUAACCAUUGAUUGAUAGGAUGUGUGGUUAGGAUGAUGGUUAUCCUCAGGUUACUAAAAUGAUAAAGUGCAAAACCAAAGGGUACUAAAGUGAUAAAGUGCGAAACCACUCACAAGGUAUUAACUUGAUACACUUUAAAUCACAGGGUACUAAAGUGAAAAAGUGCAAAACCACAGGAUACUAACUUGAUACACUUUAAACCACNAGUACUGUGCACUUUUCGCUAAUAGGCGUUUCGAAGAGAUUCUCCCCUUGCAGUUGACAUGUCGAGAGCAAUCUUAGAACUUUCCGAAAGCGGAGAACUCCACAGAAUUCACAAGAAGUGGUUUUGCAAGACAAACUCAUGUGCUGCGCAGGGAAGCGGGAAUUCUGAGCCAGACCAGCUGCACUUGAGCUGCUUCUGGGGGCUAUUUCUGGUUUGUGGGGCAGCUACUAUUAUUUCUCUCCUCUUAUUUCUUCUACGGUCGAUUCGGCAAUUCAUUCGCUAUCGGAUAAAACAUAGAGAUCCUGCAUCAGAUACUGAGCUAUCAAAGAGGGGCUGUUCUCAAGCCAUUUAUAGCUUCUUCAAUUUCAUUGAUGAGAGAGAAGAAGCCAUAAAAGCCAUUUUCAGGCAGCAGCAGCAGCAAAGCACUUCUCAGCCUCAGAAAAGCUGAUUGUGCUGUUACUAGUUCCACCUUUCUCUGUUUGUAGAACAUAAGAGGAAGUUAAUAUGUAGCUUGUAAUUUACUUCUUGUAACGUAAAUCAUAUAUAUUUUCCGUGAUGGUUAAAGCCAUUUCGCGACUUAUUUAGCAGUGUUAGGGUUGGUAACUGGUGCCAAAUAUGUCAAAAAAAAAUUUCUGUUGCUAGAACUCAUGUGAUUGUGCCAAAAGCUCUAGAAUUUUUCUGUUCAAAAUUUUAGCUUUCCUUCGCUUUAUGAGUUGGGAUUAUCUUUGAUUUGAUCAUUACUUGUCCAUAAGAUAAGACAUGAAUAAGUUGGCAUGGUUUAGGACGCUGUUUGGUUGCAUGUAAAUGAGGCCAAAAAUAAGUUUUUUGCACUAAAAUUGAGAUCUAUACGUCUUUGUCUCCUGCAAAACAGUUUUAUGUAUUUUACAGAGAAACUCUUUUUAUGUAUGUCCUGAAUUCAUAUUAUACUAAAAUAAAUACCAAUAAAUGACAUUUUUUUGGAAAAAAAAAAUCUCUCUUUUUCAAAUCGUUUUUAAGAGAUUUUACGCAGAAUCAGUAACAAAAAAUUGCCACAAGUCUACUUGACUUUGCUUUCAAAAAGAAGUCAACUGCCCACCAGCAAACUACUACCAUUAACACAAGAGAAAACUUCAAAUAUCACUUUUGUGGUUUCACACGUUCUCACUUUAGUAUUCUGUGGUUCAAAGUGUAUCAAUUUAGUAUUCUCUGGUUUCAUUUUUAUUUCUUUUAUUAUCGAUUCCACUAAUUUUUUUCGUUAAAUUAGUGACAAAGUUAAAACUAAAAGGUAUUAAAGUGAAUAUUCGAUAAAUUUAUGUAGAGUAUCUGAAACUUUUUGUAUACAAUUUAACGUCCUUAACAAAAUAUUAACGGAGAAGCUCACGAAAGAUAAAAAUGAAAUCACAGGACACGAACUUGGUACACUUUAAACUACAUGGUACUAAAUUGAGAACGUGUGAAACCACAGAGGUGGCAUCUGAAGUUUACCCUUAACAUAAACUACUUAAAAAAAAAAGACCAUUAACAUAUAAAAAGAGGUCAUCCACCAUUAUAAUAAACUACUUAAAAAAGAAAGACCAUUAACAUAUGAAAAGAAGUCAACUACCAUUAACAUAAACUACUUAAAAAAAAAAAGAAAAAAAGAGCAUUAACAUAUAAAAAGAAGUCAAAUUCGCACUAAGCUACCAUAAAGAUAGAACUCCACCAAAAGGAAGCCGCAUUUUUCGCACUAAACUACCACAAAAUAGACGACUUGCAAAAUGAGGUCAAAUGAGCACUAAAUUCACACAUCACUAUCACCAUCAUAGAUAUUCCCUUGUCCGAGAUUUUUUUGAAGUAACGAUCAAAAUUUGAGAACAAAUUUCUACGAUUGGAUUUGUCUAUUGUACAUUCGCUCCAAAAUGACACCAUCAUGUUGCAUUUUAAAGAUUGUGUGGGUAGGACGCGAGUUUUAUAUUAUCUCUGAUAUCAUAUUAUCUAAAAUUUUUUGAUAUUCUAUUAUUUUAAAAGAAUGAUCGGACUCACAUAUUUGGAAUAGCAAAUGCUUUUCUAAAAGCCAAACAGAAAAAAAAAGCGUGCUCUAAAAGUAUGUUUGAUUCCAUGUAAAACUAUGAAAAAUAAGUUUUAGUAGAAAAAUAUUUUUUAUGGUAAAUUUUUUUUUACACUUUUUAAUGUUUGAUUUGUAGAAAAAGAAAGAUAAAUUUUCAACCAUACUUAUUUGGUCGAAAAAACAAAUUUCAAUAAAGAAUAAUUUUAUAUUUUUUUUUCUAUUUAUAUUAUGUAUUAUUUAUAUUUAUAUAAAUAACUACCCUAUUUUAUAUAUAUAUAAUUAUAUAUAAUAAUAUAUAAUAAAAUAUAUAUAUAUAUUAAUAUAUAUAUAGUUGGGCUGAUGCUACAGGUAGCAGACGGAGCUCUCGUUGCCAGCCCCAUUUGUUUUCCAAUGAGGAAGCGGUCAAAUCGACGAUCGAACGAAGGCAUUGAACAUGAUCUCUAACAUUGAAGUGUUUAAAAUCAAUUUCAAAUCUUGACUCAUUUGCCCAAUAGAUCAAGGGCUUUCAAAAUUUUGUAAUUUUAAAUGGUUAUAUAAGGUUUUCUCAUUUUACGGGCGUAAAGAAUUCAAAUAAUUGAAUUUUUAUCUUAGAAAAUUUUUUAACUAUAAAACAAGAUCUAUACUCUUAUCUUAAUUACAAGACUCAUAUCAUUAGUUUUUUAAGAAUAUUUAUUUUCAGCCAUUCAUUUUAUGGCCACUAGAAUGGACUACGAAAAACAAUAUCGAAAAUGUAAUGAAAUUUGAUUCAAAACACUUCAAGUGGUAUAGAUUAUUCAGGGUGCUGAGAUCAUUGAUUUGAAGGCUCUUCAUUCGAAACAAACGGUGGCAACAAGAGCCCGUUUGCUAUCAUAGUAUUUGCUCAACUUCUAGUAUAUAUAUAUAUUAAGUAAGUGGCUAUUAUAACUCUUUAUGAGUAUACGAACUUACUACUCAUAAGUGUUUUUGCGAUGUUGGAGUUUUCAAACUCGACGAAUGCCACAUCGUAAAUGAUUUAGAAUAUUUGAAGCUUCGUAGAAAAUAAAUUUCAUAAACUUUUCGAAAUUCAUUAUAAAGAUCAUAAGCGAGUUUAUUAAAAUGAACGGUAAAAUCGAAUAAUCCUAAAUGGAAUGAUCGGAAUCCUUUAUAUUAAAGAGUCGCGUUAAUUGCUUUUAUUUAGGUAUGUGAAUAGUAUUUUCUAUCUAAAAUUCAAAUCUAUAUACGAUUCUUGUUCACGAUUAACUAGCAAAUAUCUCUACUGGACGUUAAAAUUGUUCACUUUGUUGGAACGUUGACUCGUAUAAGUAAAUGAUAUUGAAUAAAUUAUAAAAUUAUUUUUAAAAGUUUUAAAUGGCUCUAGAUAUGUUUAACGUAUGCGAUCGUCGAUUGCAGAAGCUCUAUCUGUCGAAAAACUUAUGAGUACGAGGGCGAUCGUAUCAUAAGAGUACAGUAGCCGGACUCUAUAUAUAUAUAUAUAUAAGAGAAGAGAGAGAGGAGAGACGAGAGAUGAGAGAAAUAGAUACUAGAGAGAAGAGAGAGUUGACUGGGUAUAUUAGCUCCAAAAUUUAUUGUGGCUACUAGUUUUUUAGCCAUUGGAUAACUGCUUUCAUUAUUUCUAAACAUUGGAUUAAAUACUAUACACCCAGUGGGGACACUCAAACAUUAGUGACCACUCAACUCUAACCGUACUUAAUAUUAUUCUGACCUACAAGUUUUUCAUCGCGCCAAGGUUAAAACUUGAUAGUAAAAGUAUUUAUACUAUUAAUAGCAUUACCAGCUAAUUCUAUUAUAUAUAUAUAUAUAUAUAUAAUAUAUAUAUAUAUAUAUAUAUAUAUAUAUAUAUGCGGGAUAUUAUACUCUUAUGAGUAUAGAUCCUCUUGUACUCAUAAAUUUUUAACCUUAAUGAUAGGAUGUGUGGUUAGGAUGAUGGUUUCCCAGGUUACUAAAAUGAUAAAGUGCAAACCAAAGGGUACUAAGUGAUUAAGUGCGAAACACUCACAGGUACUACUUGAUACACUUUAAAUCACAGGUACUAAAGUUAAAAAAGUGCAAAACACAAGGUACUAACUGAUACACUUUAAACCACAGAUACUAAAGUGGAAAAAGUGAACACAAGGAGUAUUUAAAGUUUUUCCUAUAUAAUAUAUGGAUAUAUAUAUAUAUAUAUAUAUAUAUAUAUAUUUAUAAAUAAAAUAUUAUAUAAUAAUAUAUUAGUAUAAAGAGAACCAGAGGGAAGUGACUCUAUUCUAGUGAUUUUCGUUUUCCAGCGAAAAAAAUAAAAAAUAAAAAAACUUCAAUUUUUUCUAAAAUUAUAAAAAAUAUUUUUAUAGAAAAAUUAUUUUACGUCAAAUCAAAUAAAUAAAAGAAAAUUUAUACCAAAAAUUAAUAAUUUUUUCGUUUAUUUGAAGUGGUACCAAACGCUGGGUAAGUCAAAGAAAAGUACCAACAAUAAUAGGAGAAAAUCAUUACUUUGAAAUAUUUAUUUUUUUUGUGACCAAUAAAUUAACGCCAACACAAGUCAAGGUCUUAUACCAAGCCAAAAUUGACCUGUGAGUUUCCAGGCCGAAUCCAACUUUUUAUAGACUAAUAUGAAUAAGAAAAAAAAUAUUGCGACUUUCGAAUUAUACGUGCAUCUUACGUUAUUUAUAAAUCACACGAAUAAUAUAAUUUUACGUGCACAUAAUUAUACAUAAACUUAAUAAAAUAUAAAUAGAAAAUACUAAAAUAAAUAUUCCAAGUCUCAUUCGUAAGUACUAUAGUUGAUUACGCUCAUUUUCAUGAUUAUUGAAAAAAAGGGAAUAAAACAAAGAAGCCAAUCUCACAAGGUUCUUGUCACAAACAGUUUUUACUUGUCACUGAUGAGUAUAAUUUAUAAGCCAAUGCUUUUUUAAGGCUACUAUUCCUUUUCCAAAUAAUGGAUAAAAACACAUUUACUUUUUUUAAAAAAUUUGUCAUAAAUUAAACUUAGUUAAUGGACCCUACAAAUUGUAACAAAUAGUUAAGACUACUAUUUAUUCUAUAUAAUUUUGAUAAUAAAUAUUUUUGACAUAUUUUUUAUCAUAUACAUUUUUUUGAAUUUUGAAUUAGUGCACAAUAUUUUUAUGAGAAUGAAUGUCACGAGAUCUUUGAUUAGUCCUCUCACGCAGGUGAUCGCCCUGUCGUUAGGAGAGCGAGUAGGAUGAAACAAAUAAGAUUACACAAAUGCAUGCAGCUAGUAAUGCAGGUGAUUCACUUUGUGCUAUAAGAGCCGGCAAGUGUUUAAAUCUUGAAUGUCGUCUUAUACGAGCUAAGAUAAGACUGUACGAAGUUGACAGUAGAAAUGAUUCACGACUCUACUUGGCCUGUAUGAAGCUGAAUGUAAAGAAAGACACCAUGUGGGUGAUCGUCUUGAGGUUUGUUGUAUUGAGUGACAACAGAACCGACAUUCGUAUGGUAUUUUGAGCGUGACAUGUCCUUAGAGGUAACUCCACCAUAGCAUACGUUCAUACCGUAUGCGUAAGAUCAAUCACUAUAUUUUAGAGAGUGACGAAAUUGAUUCCUAUUUCGUCGCUGUGUGAGCUUUGCGUACCCUUUGGGGCUUAGAAUCAUGUCAUGAAAUUGAUACUUGGUGAUGCUAUUUUAGCACAUCUAAGGACCAUGAUUAAUUCAGUCCAGCAGAACAUGUCUAGAAAAAUAGUUAAGUUGAAAUGGAUUGAUAUGAGACAUCUAAGAAAAAAUUAUUUGAUAAUACAUCUAUGAUUUGUGACUCAUAAUCCGAACGAUUAUAUUGAUAUUUGUUGUCAAUAUAAUUAUGAGAACAAAUACAUUGAUGAGAGAGAUCUAAUCUGCUCUAUGAGAUUAGAGAUGCUAUGAUCUGGUGUGCAGUUCAGUGAUUUGGGGUAUAGACGAGAUUUGAAGUUGUAGUGUUAUAUUAGUUGGAUGGUGGCUUAAUAUAACACUCCUUAUUUUUAUUCUUCUCGUUAUUGAUCGCACAAAUUAUUUUCCGUAUAAAAAGCAGAAUGGGAUGAGAAUAUAUUUAGGAUGAAAAAGUAUAAAUAAGUAUCCAAUGUGGACAAAUCCUCUAUCAAUACGUAGAACUUUUAUAGAGUUCUUUCUGUUUGGUUCUUAAUCUCCACUAAAGAACGUUUAAAAUAAUGUAAAGUUUUUGAACAGUGAGACAACAGAAAUACCGAAUUAUAUUUAUAAUUUUAAAUAUAUUCAAAAUUAUAUUAUGUAAUAUAUAAUAAUUUAUAUAUAUAUAACAUAAUAUAUAAUAACACAUAUAUAAUAUAAUAUAUAUAAUAUAUAGAGUUAUAUAUUCAUAAAUAAAAUAUCAAAUAGAAGCAAGGCUGCUGUGCUCUUAGGAGCACAGAGCCCUCCAAGCUCCUGAGCCAUUUUCGACGAUGGGACACCUGAAUCGACGAUCGGCUCUGUUAGACUUGAUCUAACGUAUUUGAAGUUUCUAGAAAAUAAUUUUUGCGAUUUUUCGAUAUCAUAUUCCUAGCAAUCGAAAGGAUUCAAAAUCAAUAAUUUUUAACGGCUGGAAAUAAAAAUUCUAUAAAAAGCGGUGAUAUAGCACUAAAAUUUUCGAUCAGAAAUAUUGAUCUUGUUGUAGAUAGUAUAAAGAAUUUUCUAUCAAAAUUUCAUCUGAUUUGAAUACUUCUACACCGUUAAACUUGAAAACGGCAGAUAUCAACCGUUAAAAAUUAUUGAUUUUGAAUCCUUUCGAUUGCAAGGUAAAUAAUAUCAAAAAAUCGCAAAAUAUAUUUUCUAGAAAUUUCAAAUACGCUAGAUCAAGUCUAACGGAGCUGAUCGUCGAUUCGAAAAUUUCAUCAUCAAAAACGGCUCAGGAGCACGGAGGCCUCCGUGCUCCUGAGAGCACAGCAGUCUUGCUCAUCAAAUAGUAUAUUAGUAUAAAGAAAACGAGAGGUAAGUGACUCUUUUAUAGAUGUUUUUGUUUUCCACCGAAAAAAAAAAUAAAAAAUAAAAAUUUUAACUUUUUUAAAAAAUUGUAAAAAAUAUUUUUAUAGAAAAAUUAUUUUGCGUUGAACCAAAUAAAUAAAAAAAUAUUUUUAUAUCAAAAAUUAAUAAUUUUUUUGUUUAUUUUACGUGAAACCAAACACUUAAGUCAAAGAAAGGUUCCAACCAUAUUGGAGAAAUAUUUAUUUGUUUUGUGACCAAUAAAUUAACCCCAACACAAGUUAAGGCCCUAUACCAAGCCAAAAUCGAUCUCUGAAAUGUUCACGCGGAAUCAAACUUUCUAUAGACUAAUAUAAAUAAGAAAAAAAAAAUAUUGCGACUUUCGAAUCAUACGUGCAUCUUACGUUAAUUAUAAAUCGCACGAAUAAUAUAAUUUUAUAUGCACAUAAUUAUACAUGAACUUAAUAAAAUAUAAAUGUAAAAUGCUAAAAUAAAUAUUCCUGAGUCUCAUUCGUAAGUACGUACUAUAGUUGAUUACGCUCAUUUUCAUAAUUAUUGGAAAAAAUGGAAUAAAACAAAGAAGCCAAUCUCAAAGGCCCCAUUUGGUUAGCGGUAUAAGCGGGGAUAACGAAAGUUAUCCUCUCUAUUCCGCCAAAUAAAAUAAUUUUUGGUUUGAAUAUAUAUUUUAUCCCGGUCAACCUUGCUAUUCCCGGCUAUUCCGGAAUAGCUUGGGAUUUAUUAUUUCACUAUUUUGAUAGAAUAAUGCUAUUAUAAUAUUUAAUUUCAAACUUUAUUAAAAUUAUAAAUUAAAUUAAAACUAAAUUAUAUAAAUAUAAUAUGUUAAUAUAUUAUAAUAUAUUAUUUUUAUUAUAAAAUUAUUAAUUGUACUAUAUUAAUACAUAUUAUUUAUAUUUCAAUAUUAAAUAUUAUAAUAAAUUUAAUAAUAAAUUAUAUUUAAAUAUUAUAAAAUAUUUUUUUUAUUAAAUUUAAGUUUAAGUAGAAUUUUAAAAAUUAUAAAUUUAUUAAUAAUAAAAAANNNNNNNNNNNNNNNNNNNNNAAAAUUUAAAAUUUAAAAUUUUGAAUUUAAAUUUUGAUAUUUUAAAUUUUAAACUUUAAUUUGAAAAUUUGAAAUUUAAAAGUUAAAAUUUUAAAUUUUAAAAUAUAUAUAAUUUAAAAUUUUAAAUUUAAAUAUAAUAAGAAGGUAAUAUCAUUAUUUUUUAUUUAUAACUAUCCACUUUAAUUUUUAUUCCAUCUUAUCUAAUCAAACGCUAUUUUUCUUAUUCCUAGGAAUAAUUUAAUUUUCGUCCAAAUACAAAAUUGAUCUAAUCCCCACUUAUACCUCAAUUUAUACCUAUUCCUGGAAUAAUCACUUUUUGCUUAUCUUUGAACCAAACGAUACCAAAAAGUUCUUGUCAUAAACCAUUGUUUUUAUUCUUUUUAAAAGAAAAAUUGUCAUAAAUUACACUUAGUUAAUGGAGCCUACAAAUUGUAAUGUGGGGCCAAAUGUCUCUGAUUUGAUAAUAUAUUCGUAUGGCACCGGCCUUUUCACAUGGUGUUGGGGCCCAUGUCAUAUAAGGUUCAUUUGCAUAUGCACUUAUGUGGACACUCAUUGACGAGGGAAUUAUUGUCUUAGUGCAGUCAAAUAUUUAUAAAUUAUUUUCUCUGAUUCUUAGACGAGGCAAUCUCAACUCAUACCUGUCGGUGCUCGCAGAUUAUCCACAAAUUUAUGGGUAUGAAUAUCAACUUUUUUAGCCCAAAAAAUUUCAGAUUAACGGGUAGAUACCCAUUAAGCUGUGAACAUUUUGGAUAAUGCACGAGUGCCCACAGAUACCUGCAUAUAUAUAUAUAUAUAUUCUAAAAAUUCGAAUCCUAACUUUUUCUCGUUUUUUUUUAUUAUGAAAUUUUUUGCUUUAAUAUUUUAAAUAUUUUUAUUAUAUAUUAUGAUAUUUUAAAUUAUAUAUAUAUAUAUAUAUAUAUAUAUAGUGUGUGUGUGUGUGUGUGUGUGUUUUGCAUUUAAAAAAUAUAAGAGCAAGAGCAAAAAAGAAAAAAAAAAUUGCGGGUAAUCCGCAUACGACCCACCCGCCCACCCGCGGGCUGGUAUGAUAAAAAUAUUGGCUAUCCAAAAAUUUACAGAUAAAUUUUAUCCAUGCCUAAGUAACCCGCAGGUAUAAUGACCCACCCACGAAUUAUCCAAUUCGUCCGUUUGCCAGGUCUACUAAUUCUAUAUUUAUUAAUCAUUUUCUAUCAUCUCAAUCUUUAUACCGAUCAAAUCAUAUUGAUACAUAUAUAUAGCUAGAAAUUUUGCUGAGUCAGUCUCAAUAGAAUAUCCUUGAUUCAAGUAUUGUAAAAUAUUAUUUUUUUGAAAAAUAAUAAACAAAUUUAUAUAUAAGAAUUAAUGUUUGUAUUCAAUCUAAUCGAACCUUUCACCUGAUUCUAAAGUGUGAGCAUGGUUCUUUCCCCAAAAAUCAAGCUUAAAAAAAGAGGCAACUCACUCUGCUAGCAAGUAGACCAAAACGAGAGCCAAAGCAUUUACAAGAAAAUUCUUUUCCUUGUUCUUCAAAAAGACAGGGAGAGGAGCUUCAGAUCCACUUACAAAUACAUCCAAUAAUAAUAUUCUAUAAAUUUAUUUCUAUGGACGUAUUUUAUUGGUAACAGCUGUGGAAGUUAUUUGUUAGAUUUUAAUGAUUAGAUUUUUAUUUUUGAUAUUGUAAAUUACAAUACAGCCAAUUAAAUAUGGAGUGAGUUGGUUUGUUUAUAGAAAUACAGAAUUUUUCAUUUUUCAAGUCGUUUUUGAUGUUAUGAUAUUCGAAUCGACGAUUGGUUCCGUUAGACUUGAUCUAGAGUAUUUGAAAUACCUAGAAAAUAAAUUUUAUAAUUUUUCGAUAUCAUUUGCUUAGUGAUUGAAGGGGCUCAAAAUCAAUAAUUUUAAUGGUCAUUGUGAGCCGUUUGCAAGUUUAAUAGUGUAGAAAUAUUCAAAUUAUAUAAAAUUUUGAUAGAAAAUUUUUUAUAUUAUAUGAAACAAGGUCAAUAUUUUUGAUCUAAAAUUUUAAUAUCAUAUCAUCACAUUUUGUAAGAUUUUUAUUUUCAGCCAUGAAUUUUGAGCUCCUUCGAUCAUCAGAAAAAUAAUAUCAAAAAAUUAUUAAAUUUAUUUUUUAAAUAUUUUAAAUACUCGAGAUCAAGUCUAACGGAACCGAUCAUCGAUUCGAAAGUUCAAAUAUCAAAAACGAUUUGAAAGUACGGAUGACCCUCCGUACUUUCAGAAGCAUACCGGCCUCGCUUAUGUUUCAUGUCCACGUAAACGAGUUUGUAAAAUAUUAUAAAAUUUAUUUAUAAUACAAGUAAAAUAUCAGGGUUUUUUUUGCAAAUAGCCCCCUGAGCAAUUUUUAUUUUAAAAAUAGCCCUAUCAAAAUUAAAAUUGCAAAAAUGGCCCUAUCCCUGCCACGCAGGCGCCACGUCAGCGCCACGUGGGCAGGGCUGGGGCCAGGGUAUUAAGUUGAACACGGUGAAUCAUUCACCGUGUCUAAACACGGUGAAUGGUUCACCGUGUUUCUUACGUAUUUUUUGUAUAUUGAAAAGUGGAAUAAGGAGUAGGGAUGUCAAUAGGUAUGGAUACCCGAAAUAUUAUCCGAAUCCAAACCCGAAUAAAUUAUAUAUAUAUAUAUACGUAAUUUAUUUUUAUUUAUUUAUACAAUAUAUAAAAUAUUUAAUAAUUUUUAUUCUUUAAAUCUUCAUCCAACGGUAUAGAUUUUUAAAAUCCGCUGGGUUGGAUGAAGAUCUAAGGAAUAAAAAUUAUUAAAUAUUUUAUAUAUUGUAUAAAUAAACAAAAAUAAAUUAUGUAUAUAUAUAUAAUUUAUUCGGAUUUGAAUUCGGAUAAUAUUUCGGAUAUCCAUAUCUACAUCCCUACUCCCUAUUCCACUUUUAAAUAUGUAAGAAAAAAUACGUACUAAACACGGUGAACCAUUCACCGUGUUUGAACACGGUGAAUGGUUCACCGUGUUCAACUUAACACACGGGCCCAGCCCUGCCCGCGUGGCGCUGACGUGGCGCCUGCGUGGCAGGCCUAAGGUCAUUUUUGCAAAUUAAAUUUUGACAGGGCUAUUUUUAAAAUAAAAAUUUGUCAGGGGUCUAAAUGCAAAAAAAGCCCAAAAUAUCACGCUUUCUUAUACUUUGUCCUCCCACACGGGGCCAUACCUAUUUCUCUCUCUCUCUCUCUCUCUCUCUCUCUCUCUUUCUCUCUCUAAGUUCGUGGUUUGUUUGGUUUUUGCUUCUACAUUUAUUUAAUAAAAAGAAGAUAAUUAUUUGGAGUAGAGUAUUUGAUAGAUAGCAAAUUAUUUUAUGUCUCUAAUUUCGCCAUUCAAAAGUAGCAAUAACUAUCUGGAGUACGUCUCUUGUGCUUUCGAAAGUACGAGGCAUUCGUGUUUGUAAGUUAUUUUCGAUGAUAGGACAUCCGAUUCGACGAUCGGCUCCAUUAGCUAUAAUCUACGCUAUGGGAACUAUCUAGAAACAAAAAUUUAUAAUUUUUUGACAUCAUUUACCAAGCGAUCAAAGCGUCUCAAAAAUGACUAUUUUAACGGCCGAUGUGGCACGUCUUUAAGUUCAACGAUGUAGAAGUUUAUCCAAAUUAUAUGAAACUUUAAUAGAAAAUUCUACUUAACAUAAAGAGUAAGAACAAUACUUUCGAUUUGAAAUUUGAAUAAUUUAUCACUGUUUUUUAUGAAAUUUUUAUUUUCAACCGUUAAUUUUGAGCCUAUUUAUUCACUAGGCAAACGAAGUUAAAAAAUUAUGAAAUUUGGUUUCUAGAUAGUUUCAAUAGUGUAGAUCAUGUCUAACGAAACCGAUCGUCGAAUCGAAAAUCAUAUCAUCAAAAAUAACUUACAAGCACGAAAGCAUCCAUACUUUCGAAAGCACAGGAGCCUAGCUCGUAUACUCUAUACUCGAGUUUGAUAUUUACUUUUCCCACAUUAUAUAUAUCAUCAUAGCCUCAAUUAUUUAUGUACCUGCUCCAACCUUGCUCCACACACACACUCUCUAUCUCCCUAGUCCCAGAUAUGAAUUAUCUCUCUCUCAAAAGAUUCCCCUGUAGAAACCAUUAAGAAACACACCAAUCAAAUCCAAAUCCAAACACAAAUCCAAAUCAAACUCACCAAGGAAGUUGAAAUGGAUUGCUCGUCGCUGUCGCUGUUUUGGGUAAUGCUCACGACCUGUUUGUUGUUGGGCCUCACCGGGGGGGCGGCGGCGGCGGCGCGGAGCGUGAGCGUGAGCGUGGGGGCGCUCUUCACCUUCAACUCGACGAUCGGGCGCGCGGCGCGCCUCGCCAUCGAGCUCGCCGCCGAGGACGUGAAUGCGGACCCGAGCGUGCUCAACGGGACGAGAAUGGCCGUGCUCACCCAGGACACCAAUUGCAGCGGCUUCCUCGGAACCGUUGAAGGUCUUUUUUUUUAGUAUUAUUACUCUUAUUUUUAUUAUUAUUACUGCUGCUGCUACUACUGUUGAAUUUGAAUGUGAAAUAUUAAAAAAAAAUAUAUUUUUUGUUUAAUUUUUCUGAGAAUAAUAAUUGUUUCGUUUUUUUUUUAUUUUUUUAACAUGAUACUGGCCACGCGAUCUGAAUUCGAAUCUCAUCGUACUUCUAUUGUUUUUAAUUAAUUUUCUCUCGUUUAAUUAUUCUGUCAAAAAAAAGAAAAAAACGUGCAUUUGAUAAUAGAAUAAUAUUUGAAGGGACAAAUAUUUAAAUUCUUGGAUAACUCGGUAGGUAUCGUAGAAUAGAGAGGAAUAAAAAAAAUUUCGUAUUAGAUUAUUUAAAAAAAAAAUAAUUAGUGGAGCAUAGUUGGAACUUGAAAGAGUAUGGUGUGGAAAACAAAAGCGAAGGAUAAACUUGAAAAUAACCCUGUUACACAAUUUUUUUUUAGCAUGUUACCCGAUUCGUUUAUUUCAUUUAGAAAUAAACUUAGCUGGAAAUAUGAAUCAACUAGAAUUCGAAUUUGGGACCUCGGGUACUAACCACAAACCCUUUACUACUUGCUCUAGAGACAGUCGGUCUGUUACAUAAGUUAUUCUAAAAUAAUAUGGAGUAACCUGCUUUGACUUUGACCAAAAUAAAUUAUUUCUUUCAAAUUUAGUUGUGUUUCGCAAAGUGUAUGGGAUAAAAUGCUUUUUCCGUUGGUUAUUCUCUUUGCUGUAAAGACGUAAGAGGCUUUCUCAAUAUUGUUUAACAAUUAUUAUUGGUUUUUAUUACAUGAUUAAGCAAUUCUAUUGCGAAACAGAAAAGGGAUGAGAAAAAUAAAUUAGUGUAUUAGAUUAACCUGAACUUUUGCCGAAUUAUAUAUAUAAAAUGAUAAAAAAGUAUUACUUUUGUGUAACAAAAAAAAAAAACUUUAAAGUUAUUUUAAGUGAAAAGAUAAUUGGGUGGUGAUGUGUAAUUGUGUUUUUUUUUCCUCUUAGAGAAAAAGAUCACUUUUAGAUUAAUUAAAUAGCUUUGAUACUUACCACUAGCCCUUUUUUUUUUAUACAUGGUUUGUACGAGAAAUAAGAUUCUUUAUCAAAUUGAAUCUGUUGAGCUUUUUCUUCUCUUCUCUCUUUUUUUUUUAAUGUUUCCUUUUUUAUUAAUUCAUUUCUUAUUCCAUUAUUCGUGUUACACUGGCCUUGUAUUUUAAAAAGGUAAAAUAUAUGUUUUUGAAAGUUAAAGAGUAAGAGUAAAAAACCAGGUAUUUAUAGGAGGCUUUUCUGUAUUUUAGCCUUUCGUUUAUAUGGAAUUCCUUUCUCUCAUUUUCCUCCUUUAUGUGACGCCCUUUUGACACUUCUAGCUGGGGAUUGAUUUUAGUAAGAAAGUUAUAGUGGUAUCAAGAAAAAAGGAACAAACUUGUAUUCAUUUUGUUUAAAAAAAGGAACAAGUUUUGCGUGCCUUUUGGCUAUAUAUAUUGUGCAUUGAGCUAUUGAACUUGAUGCCGCAAUCUCGUCUUCUCGCAGCCUUGCAGCUAAUGGAGAAAGAUGUGGUUGCUGUCAUUGGCCCGCAAUCCUCCGGUAUAGGUCAUGUCAUCUCUCACGUUGUUAACGAGCUACACGUUCCUCUCUUGUCAUUUGCCGCCACCGAUCCAACUCUCUCCUCUCUUGAAUAUCCUUACUUUAUUAGAACCACACAUAGUGACUAUUUCCAAAUGAAGGCAAUCGCUGACAUGAUCGACUAUUUUCAGUGGCGAGAGAUCACUGCAAUUUUUGUCGAUGAUGAUUACGGGCGAGGAGGGAUAUCGGCUCUAGGCGAUGCACUCGCGGAAAAACGGGCGAAAAUUUCAUAUAAAGCUGCUUUCCCUCCUAAUGCAGAUGCUGAUGCCAUCAAUGACUUGCUUCUACAAGUGAACUUGAUGGAAUCUCGGAUUUAUGUUGUGCAUGUGAAUCCCGACUCGGGCUUGACAAUUUUUUCACAGGCUAAGAGACUCAGGAUGAUGGAGGCUGGUUAUGUGUGGAUGGCAACUGAUUGGCUUGCUUCAGUUCUUGAUUCUUCUGGCUUGGCUGAUCCUAAUACUAUGAGUCUUAUACAGGGAUCAAUUGUUCUUAGGCAUCAUAUACCGGAUUCUAAUCUCAAGACAAAGUUUCUGUCUAGGUGGAAUGAUAAAAUUGGUAAUUCGAGUGCCAGUUCGAGCUUGAAUUCAUACGGUUUGUACGCUUACGAUUCAGUUUGGGUUGUUGCUCGUGCUGUCGAUCAAUUGCUAAAUAAGGGACAGGAAUUCAAUUUCUCUAGUGAUCCAAGAUUGCAUGAUACAAAUGAAAGCACUUUGCACUUAGCAUCCCUCAAAAUUUUCAAUGAUGGCCAGAAUUUACUUAACCAGUUGUUGCUCACAAACUUUACGGGCAUAACUGGUCAAGUUCAAUUCGACUCGGACAGGAAUUUAAUACACCCGGCUUACGAUAUCUUAAAUAUUGGUGGAACAGGUUCGCAGGUUAUAGGCUAUUGGUCUAAUUACUCUGGUCUCUCAGUUGUUCCUCCUGAAAUUUUGUCUGAGAAGCCACCAAAUACUACAAGUAGCCAACAACUCUACAGUGUCAUCUGGCCCGGUGAAACUCCGACGAAGCCUCGUGGUUGGGUUUUUCCGAAUAAUGGCAAGGCUUUGAGGAUUGGAGUUCCGAAUAAAGUAAGCUUUAAUGAAUUUGUGUCGAAAAGUUCUGGUCCUGAUAAUGUGACUGGAUAUUGCAUCGAUGUAUUUAAUGCUGCGAUUAAGUUGUUACCAUACCCGGUUCCUUGCUCAUUCAUAUUGAUUGGAAAUGGUAAGGAGAAUCCGAACAAUGAUGAUAUCAUAAGCAUGGUCGCUCAAAACGUAUGUGCUCUAUUUUCACAGACCUGAAUUUUUCUGUUCUUUUCGAGUUCUAAUGUUUAAUUGCAUAUUUUCCAUUUUCGUUUGAGGCUUUUACUUAUAUAUCCCUGCGAAGUAUCCAUUUUCGAAUAUAUUCUGUAAAUCUGAAGUUUCAUAUGUAUCCCUUGAGAAGUGCAAUUUCAUACAAAAAAGUACCAAUAUAAGUUGGGGAAUCGCCCAAUUUGUGAGGGAGAGUAGGUUCUGUUUGAAAAGGUGUCCUACAGAUGGAUACUAUUUUGACAUACAUGAAAGUUCAAAUUUUGCAGGGAUAUAACUUGAGAGACAAUUUUGCAGGAUAUAUUUAUCUUAUCUUUUUUCCUUUCUUUCUUUUUUUGCAAUUCUAAGCCUGGUUCUGCUCUCUAGGAGCUAGAUGCAGCAGUAGGUGACAUUGCCAUCGCGAGAAACAGAACAAAGAUUGUAGAUUUCACACAGCCUUAUACUGAGUCGGGCCUUGUAAUAGUGGCACCUGUGAAGCAAAGUAGCUCCAGUGCAUGGGCUUUUCUGAAGCCCUUCACUAUACAGAUGUGGUGUGUAACAGGAGCUUUCUUUAUUGGUGUUGGGGUGGUUGUUUGGAUUCUGGAGCACCGCAAAAACCCGGAGUUUCGAGGAUCACCGAGACAGCAACUUGUGACACUAUGCUGGUUAGUCUUCUUCCCCACACCCCUGAGAAUUAUAUCUUAAUCAUCAUUGUUGAAAAGACAGUUUUAUCUUACUUUUAUACUGUUUUAAGGUUGCUCACUCCAGGAACACUUUAAAUCUGAAAGUUGUCCUAACAACUAGCUUAUGUUUCUGUACCAAAAUUUGUGAAUAUCAAAAUCAAUUUUAGGUAGAUAACAAUAUAUAAUGAUUUCGAAAAUUCAGGUAAUUUGAUAAGAUAUCUUUUAGUUAAUGCAAAUUUUACAGGGGCAAAAAUAUCCUUUGAUACAUGAAACUCUGAAAGUUACAGAGAGUAAUUGUGAAUUGCAGAAUUUUUUUUUUCUUUUUUCUUUUUUUUCAGCUGAGGCUAUCAAGCCAUCUGACUAGUCUCUACGGCAGUAAUUUCCACAAUCCAAUAUUAGAACGAUUUUUUAUGCACACACGAGGUCUAUCCAAGUGUGCAUAGCUUUUACUUCUAGUUUUGUUCAUUCAUAUUCAAAUUUCUUUUAUAUAAUUAUCAGUUUUAUCUCUGUGUGUUACUUUUUACUCAUUUUUGUAACAUUUGAAUCUUCUCCAUUUUUAUCUUUUUUUGACUUUUAAUGAAUGGACAUUUUUAUCUUAUAAAUGUAAUAUUUUAAUUCUGCCAUUCUUUCCUUGCAGGUUCAGUUUCUCAACAAUGUUUUCUGCACAAAGUAAGUUGAUUUGCCUCAGAAAAGUUUCAAUUCACAAUACUUUCUCCACAAGCUCGAACUUUACACUGCUGUAUAUGUUUUUCAGGAGAGAACACAGUGAGCACCCUUGGACGGUUUGUGCUAAUCGUAUGGUUAUUUGUAGUACUAAUAAUCAAUUCAAGCUACACCGCCAGCCUCACCUCCAUCCUUACGGUUCAACAACUUUCUUCGGGAAUUAAAGGACUUGAUAGCUUGAUAUCGAGCUCAGAGCCAAUUGGUUAUCAGGUCGGGAAAUUUACGCGGAAUUAUAUGAUAGAAGAGCUGAACAUAGCUGAGUCCAGGCUCAUACCUUUAAAUACAAUAGACGAAUACGCAAGAGCUCUUGAGCUCGGGCCCAAAAAUGGAGGUGUCGCAGCAAUAGUAGAUGAAUCUCCUUAUGUUGACAUCUUUUUGUCAGUAUACUGCAACUUCGGGAUUGUGGGGCAGGAGUUUACCAGGGAGGGAUGGGGAUUUGUAAGUACCAUCUUCUACUGUGACCAUGAAAUUGAUUUUUCUUUACCGCUUUUCUGGUUAGCGAAGUUUAUCAUUUACUUUUUAUUUUCUUCUGUUUUGAUAAUAGUUCUAUCCGUAGGUCGACCGUAACUUAGUUAUAUGUUCUUUACAGGCCUUCCAAAAGGACUCUCCUCUAGCAGUGGACCUCUCAACCAUGAUUCUCACACUAUCAGAAAAUGGCGAGCUCCAAAGGAUCCACGACAAAUGGCUUGUACGUAAAGGAUGCAACAGCGACAACACCGACAUAGAAUCGAACCGGCUUAGCCUUAAGAGCUUCUGGGGUCUCUUUCUCAUAUGCGGUCUUAUAUGUGUCCUUUCUCUUAUCAUAUUCUUCAUAAGAAUCUGUUGGCAAUAUAGCCAAUACAGCAGUACUGCAGAGCCUGGAAACUCCGCUGGAACUCCAAAUGGCGAAACACUACCGAGGAGGAUGAGUAAUUUAAAAAGCUUUAAGGAUUUGAUUCAGUUCGUCGAUAAGAAGGAGGAGGAGGUCAAGAAAGCUAUUAAGAGCAGAUUGAGUGAUAAAGAAUCUCAGAGUUCACGAGUGUCCAUUGGAUAGCUGAUUUGAUGUGCGUCAGGAGGCUAUUUUGGAUUGGAAGAUACGAAAUUUCUUUUCCUUUUUCUAAAAUAAUUUUCACUCUUAUAUCGCUUCAGAAAAUGACAUGUAGCAGUUCGUAUCUUUGAAAUAGCAACGCAACUUCCCCAAGAUUUAUAGUAAUAUCAUCUGAAAUUCUGUAUAUUCUGCAGUUUUUCUGUUCCUUUGUGCUGCAAUGUAUGUUCAAAUGAAAUGCGUGUUGAGUUGUAUACUUUGAAUAAGGGUGAAAUGAAAGAGGCAUCUCUCUUUCUCUCUCUCUCUCUUUUAUAUAGAACACUCUAGAGUGCUCUAGAAACAAGUGCUCUCUCUACUUGCUAAUAAAGCACUCUAAAGUGCUCUAAAAACUACUUGCUAAUAGAGCACUCUAGAGUGCUCAAGUUGAUAGGUCGGAGGCCUAUAAAUAGGUGUGAGGGCCCCGCACCAAGUGAAAAGACGUGUAGUGAUGUGUGUAGUGACUGUGGUGAGAUAUAGUGUAGGGAGUGAGGGUGUAUAAAAGGUGUGUUGAGCUGUGAAUUUAGUGUGUGAGUUUUUUAGUCUUUUGGGUGUAUGUAAUAAAAUUAUAUGUGAGAGUUAUUUUGUGUGUAAUAAAGAGAGUUUUAUUAUUAGCUUGGUACGCCAAUAAUUCUACAUGAAAAUGUCCAAAAAGACACUAAAAGAAUCAGUUACUUAACAGGGUGACAUUGUAAGAAUGAUUCAGAAGGUAAUGCCUGUUACUACAUUCAAUAAGGAAGCCUCAGAUUUAGCCUCCUCAACCAUAUGGAGUGAAGCACCAUGUGGAUCACAUCCAACCUCUUCGCGGGUCGGUUGAGCUCAAAGUGGCGCCGCACCUGAGCCACCCUCGCCCGUAAUACUUCGUACCGCCGCCCAGAAAUUCCUUGUAGUAUGGUCUUGAUCUCAGGAAUCUUCUCAACAGGUAUCUGCACUGAGAAUUUACUCCAAUCAAGCACAUCACUGAAAGGCAAUGAGUAGUUCACGGAUAUGAUCACCGGUACACAACCUGAUGUUAUCGACUCCACGAUCCUUGGGCUUGCUACCUCGUACCCGCUGGGACACAAGCAGUACUUGGUCGAGCUCAUGAACUCGUCAUAGUUCAGGCCCCUCGGCAGGUACUCGUAGACGACGACUUCCCGAUCCUUCCCCUGCCAGUGUCGAAGCAGGAGUUCCCUGAGGUAGCCAUGCGACCCCCCUGCAAAGAAUGCGAGGAUCGUUCUUUCGGUUGGCGGACGGUUGAUCGUGUGGUGACGGGGGAGGCGCCGACCUUUGACGUUUACUUCGGGAAGCGUGACGUCCUUUCCACGCUCGAAGCCUUCCGACAUGUUCGCGUUGCAGAUCACGCAAAUCGAGUUCUUGUAGAGCUGAGGAUUGGCACCGGAAAGGUACGGUGCCUGAAAAUGAAAUGUUUCAAUGGCAAAUUAAGGAGACUAUAGUACUGACGGUUAAAUCUCGCAUCUGAAACAGCUUCUCUACUCUAGAACAAAAAUUAAAAACUUUUAAAAACUUUUGACAGAAGAGAGAGAAAUGGCAGAUACCCAAUCAUGGCAGGAGACUAUGAAAUGAUCGGCCCCCUCGCUGCGAUUCCAGUAAGGAUACUUACUAGCUAUCACAUCCACGUAAUCUGCGCCUAAGCGGCGCUGAGGCCCCCAGUAGUCGAUCAUGUCGCGGCGGUAGAUGUACUUUACAAUGUUGACAAUGCUGAUGGGGAGAAAGAACACAUGAGCCUCGUCAGGGCGGCGAGCUCUCAGCGGAUUCUUCUCAUCCUCUAUCUCACUGAUGAAAUGCCCUUCGAUAGCAUAAAUGCUCGACUCCGGACCGCCGUGCGUGAUCGGUGGCUCGCCUUCGUUGUAUAUCCACACCUCGAAUCUCUUCUCCAUCUCAAUGUAGCUCCUGCAUGUUAUCAAACCUCUACGUGAGAGACCAACAUGUAGAGAGGACCAACAUUCAACAGUAUUCUUCAAUCUUAUAACUAGUUUUGUUGCUUUUACUACUUAACUGAUAAAAGGCAUAAGGGUUGCGAUACACGGCGCCUCUCUGGACGAACUCUUCUCCCUUGCUUGAAGUGUAAUUGUGCGAAAGGAUGGCCCGUCGAAUCGAGGCUCGCGCAUUUGCGAGUCCCUUCUCUAUGCCUCUUCUAUUCUGAAUUCUAGUUACGUUAAGCGCAGCAGCAAGUGCGCUAUUCGUUUGUAAAGCAGAAGUAGGCAGAGAUGGCGAUGACGACAAUGGCAACGAUGAUGAGAGUGCGAUAGAAGGUUGCGACGCAGCAUUAGCGGCUUUCGGGCCACCGCGAAAUUGUGAAAGGUGGUUUUGAUCAAAGAAGAGAAAAGAGAGUAGUAGGAGAAGAGGAAGUAUGGAGAAUGGGAGAGAAUAGGAGCUAUUACUGCAACUCAUGCUACCCAUUCUCUACCAACUCAAACAAUUUGGUUAGAGAGAUCCCAUGCACGCAUGUUAUCUUUUAUAAUGUUUCACAACUGUUAGUGAUAUUAAUGCAUGAUUUUUUUUUUUCCCCUUCUUUUUGCGUUUCUGUUAAUUUAUAUUAUAGUUAGGGAGUGAGAGCAACGUAGACGCUACGGAGUGAGUAUGUGGCACGUCGGGGCACGUGCACUGAUCCCAAAGCCACGUGCAGAGAUUCUGGGCCGAGUAUGUGGGCCCAACAACCAAUGCAAGGCCCAGUAGCAGAUUCUUAGGCCGUGGGCUUCAUGGACUCUUAUAUUCGACUAAAAUUGAGGACGCGUUUGGUUGCGCAAAAGUGACACGACAAAGCGGUACUUUUAUUUCUAGGAAGUAGCUAUUCAGAAAGUGUCUUAAUUUCUACAUGUUUUGAAAAAAACUUUUUAUAUUUGGAUGUUCAGAAAAGAGCAGAUAAUAGAAACAACUAAAUGCACGAAAAUAAAAUACAGUGAACCUCUUAGAUUGCUAGAGCAUCAACACAGUACCAAGAGCUGAUAUUGCAAGAACAACAGUAUAUAACAAUGAGGAAAAUCAAAAUUGAUUCGGCGAUCUGGUAACCCCUAAAAUGGGAGUAGCAUCAUCUACAGAGUAAAAUCAGAUUUAUUUUGCAUUGUGUCCAAAUUAUUUUGCAACACAAUACUAGCACAUUCAAUGUUCAAACUAUUCAGAGAGUAGAUAAAGGGGAAAGGAACAACAACAGUGUAGCUGAGUAUUCCAAAAUUUAUUUCCACAAACAUGCAACAAAAAGCAGAUGAGGUUUUUAUGGGAGUUGAAUGCCACACAUCGGCCUCAAGAACGCUAUUUCUUUCUGGAUUCCUUUUUUUAGUUUUUUCCUUGCGCUGUUCGUUUCUCACUCUAGAUUGACUUCCUGUCUCUUUGGUGGAUCCAGCUGCAGGUAAUAGAAAGGUUCUGUUGGUUCCUCCCUGUGACAUUCCACCAGAUAGUUUUAGCCAAUGUGCAUAGAGAACAGAGAAUUCAGAUAUAAACAAAAAAUAAAAACGGAAAAGAACAGCAUGAUCAUCGCUAAUUAUGUUGGAAAUUCGGAAGUUCCACAAAAGUGCUGUUUGAAAGAUCUGCUCAAAGAGGGCCUGGCAUCUUUCAUUAAGAAUCUUGCCAACAGCUUCCUGAUCUGGCGGGAAGGUCUAAAUUUUGGUCAUCUUUCGACUGUAAUAAGCCAGAUUCUUCAUUCAUAUUUGGAGGGGAACGACCGAUUAUGAAGAUCGAAUUGGGUCUCUGACCGAGAAGGCCUACCUGCUCUGUAAGCUGUUGACGUUAAUCCUACCUUUCUACGAGGCACUAGGAUAGACAGACGGAAGAACAAGAUUGUCAAUUGCCAAACUUUUGCUUCUCGAGUAAAUUGGAAGUUCUAGUAAGCGAGGCAAAACGAAAAAAAAACCAGUACCCUUUCUUGAACUAGCUUUAGUUGGGCAACUAUUUCUUUUGGGUAAUAUAUAAUGGAAUUAGCCUUGCAGCAUAUCUAUUUCAACCUGAAGCAGUUCAACAAGAAUGAAGCCGGGAAAGCCUCAAUUCUUUCCUUAUUGACGAAGUAGAUAGCCGCCUAAUGUGCAAGGAUCUUAAGCUCCACUUACUUCUUAUAUCCUACAAUAUCAUGUUCCAAACAAAGAAAUGAUAAAAUUGCAGUAAACUUCAAUGUGAUGACUUGACCAAGUAAUUAUUGAUAGCUGCCUUUCAGAAACUCAAAGAAUAAAAAUACAAUAGGCAUCAAAUCCUUGUAGAUAAAGGCUUCAAUUAUCUUUCUACCUGAUCAAUCUGAACUUCAAGAAUAGGCCAUGCAAAAAAAAGAAGAAGGUUGAAAUGCAUAGUAACUAGUAAGUCAUACUGCCCACAUCAAUCUUUAGGAUUUCUGUCUUAAUGCUGACGCGCACACUAAAUUCAGAAAAUUGCACAAAAUUGUAAGGACAGAUUCUACAUUAGUUGUCCAAACUGGAGGCCACUUAUCUCGCUUACAUCUCCACGUGAAAAAUACAUACCCAGGUUUUGAUCGCAUGCAUCGCCAAAAGAGCUUGAAAGGGCCUGGAACAGUUUUAAAUGGAUUCCCUUCAAAGCAGGCCUGCAAAGCAACAAAAAAAAGGCAAAAAAUACCUCAGCACAUAAUAUAUGCUGCACCACAGACAUGCUUCUCCGAAAAGCAGCUUAAAGCAAUUGAAUAUGGGAAAAGCAGCAAAAUUGAGUUACAAACAAUCCGAUAGUAACAAAAAAAUUCAACAGGAUAACUUAACACCCAAGCUGAAGAAAACAAAUUUGGCAUUAGUCGGAGCACCAGCAUCCAUCCAAUAAAGAGCAACAAAUCCAUAUGGCGUCGGCUUUCACCCAAGAAAGAAGUAUGCCAUAACUAAAAUUCAUUUUCAUCACAUAGUUCCCUUCAUGUUUUUUGCAUUUAUUUUUCUCUCUUUUUCUGAAUUUCAUGUACUAUUCUUUUUCUUUCUUUUUUUAAAAAAAAUCCCUUACCAUCAAAGAAACAACUCACCUUACAUGAGAUACUCUAAUCAGAAAAAUACUUCAACCGAUAUAAAUAAAAAGAGUGAGGUAUUCGAAAGCUAUGAUUCAUUUACACUGCUAGAACUAGAAUAUAAGAGGCAUCUAAUAUACAAUAACCAAUUCCACGAGCAAAUAGAGGUGGGGGAAAACUCAGGAAAAAGCUGUAAAACAAAAUAAUUACCUGGAUUACAUCCUCGGCUCUAUCAUUGCACCGAUGCGCCUGAGGCUGCCGCGUGUCACCUUCCGGCAAACCCCACGGACUCUCUCUCCUCGGAACUGCCCUAGAAGAACUCAUUCUCCCACUCUACCAAUAAUGGGUAAUCCAACCAAUAAGGAAAAAUGAGAAGAUUUUGAACCAAGAAACACUUUUUUUAAAAAACCUGUGAACUAAUUCUUUAUCUCAAAAUCAUGCUCAACACCAGAUUUACACAUUCCCCUUGACAGAAGUAAACAUUCAUAAAUAGUGCGUUUUAAUCAUGAAGAAGCUAGGAAUUCCUGCUGAAAAACUUGUACGGAUGUUAAAACUCAGUAGAUACCAGGACAGGGAAGGAAAAAAAAAGAAAAAGGAAAAGAAAAGAACCCAAAACACACUCCAAAAUCUAGUUUUUAUCUCAAAAAUCACGCUCGGUGCCAAAUUCACACCCACUUCCUCUCAAUACAAGCCAAAAUUCACCAUUAAUUCAUUUUAAUCGCGAAAAAUCUAAGAAUUCCUCGUCAAAUAGCUUUCACAUAUAGUGCAAUCCCAGAGGAACCAAAUCUCUUUAGGGUUUAACAAUAACCAAACCCCGCCCCCCCUCCACACACACACACACAAAAAAAAAAAAAAAAAAAAANAGUCAACUACCCUGUGAAUCAAGGGGAUUAGUAGGAUCCACCUAUAGAGAAUUUAAUUUUUUUAAAAAAAAUCUAGGAGCUUACUCGUGUGCGAGAUCGAGAAGUAGCCGAGAUGUGUAGCACAGAGUAAUGGGGAAGAGAGAGGGAGAGGGGAACGAAGAGAAGUGACUCUUAUCGGAUCCGGGUCUCUUGGGUUUUUAGUCCUAGGCCCGGCCCAUUCUCACCCAAUUUGAAGUUUUGGGCUCACUCAAAUUAGGUUUCGCAUCUCUCUCACUCUCUCUCUCUCUCUCUCUCUUCGUCUUCGUCCUCUUCCCCAUCCAUGGCGAUACACCACCGCGCCCUCCUCGCGUCGACGAUCGAGCUUCGUCGUCUUCCCAUGUACGUUCCCAAAUCUAUUCGAUCUCCCUCUCUCUCUUCUCUUCCGCUCUUCGUGUCGUUUCUCGAUCCUUUUUUCCUUCAUUAAAGCUUGUUUCUUCUUAAGCACCUUAAAUUACUUAUUUCCUCGUCGCAACGUUUGCCAUGUUCAGUAACUAUGUAAUCGGUGGGUUAAAAACUGAACUUUGAUCUAUUUUAAGCAUGAUCUACGUUGGAAGAUGUAUCUAAUGUGUAAAAUAAUCUCCCUUUUCUGUGUUUUGAUCACUGUGUUUAUUAUUUUGGUGUGUAAAAGUGAUUAAUAUGGUUUACGAAAUUGUCUAUUGUGUACUGGGUUGGAUUGGAGUGAAAGUUCAACCAAUCACGGGUUUUAGUAAUUUUUAUCUGCUAUUUCUUAUAUUAUGGAAAAAUUCUGUCACAGUGAAAAUUCUGAAGUUCUACAUGCAAAUUUUCAUGGUUCUCAUCUACUGCAGGUUCAUGUAUUAAGAGCUUAUUUGGCUCUUUUAUAGAUUGAAAGUGAUAUUUGAAUUGUGCCAUCGGAAGAAGCACUGUUUUAAGAUCCUCCGAGUAGUAGAAUCCAGAGAUGCAAGUCGAAACUUUUGCUUUCGAGGCUCGGAAUCUCAUAUCAGCUACCCGCAGUAGUUGAACAUUUAAACUUCCAAUUGGUGAAUUUCUACUAGGCUAAAAGAGAAGCAUAAGCUAGGUCAAACAGGCACUGUAUCUAGUAUAUUGAAAAUAAAUGCCCCCUCUGGGACCUCCAUCACCUCGCAUCCUCCUAAACAACGUCUCUUGCAUGCGAAAUGCACAAACCGUCCUCCGCAACAUUAACGUCUCCGUGCACGAUGGCUCUGCCCUCGUAUUAACCGGCGCUAACGGUUCCGGGAAAACAACCUUCCUUCGAAUGCUAGCUGGAUUCUCUCGCCCCUCCGCCGGUGAGAUUCUUUGGGACGGACAUGACAUUACUUCCCCAGGAGUCUUCCAACAAUACAAGCUUCAACUCAACUGGCUUUCGCUCAAAGAUGCUGUAAAAGAAAAGCUAACUGUCUUAGACAAUGUCCAAUGGUUUGAAGUUUUAGAAGGAAAAAGCGGUAAAUCGGUUGAAGCUUUGGAGCUGAUGGGGCUUGGCAGGCUAAUUAAUGAGAAGGCACGGAUGCUCUCUAUGGGGCAGAGGAAGCGGCUGCAAUUGGCUCGAUUAUUGGCUAUUGAUAGGCCGAUUUGGUUGCUUGAUGAGCCAUCAGUUGCUUUGGAUGCUGAGGGUGUCCGGUUGCUCGAGCUUAUAAUUGCAGAGCAUCGUAAGAAGGGCGGAAUUGUGUUCGUGGCCACACACCUGCCUAUUGCCAUUGAAGAUGCUAUGUGUCUGAGGCUUCCAACGAGGUUUCCUAGAAGAAAAACUCUGGUCGAUUUGGUUCAUUGAAGUAAGAAUACAUCUUCUAUCUGUUAUGUUCUAUAGUUCCUUCAAAUAAAUUUUUGUAGUUUAGAAGACUAUGUUUUCUCCAGGAGUUUUCGUUCUUCAAGAUUGUGUAUUGUAGUUAAAAAGUGGGAGAACAAAGUUUUCCAUUUGCAUUGUUGCUGAGUAUACUGCUGAAAAGUACGAGAACACAAGUCAUGUAAGCACUUUAUGCAUAUGUCAAGUAGAAGAAAAGAACUGUUCUUUGUACAAGAAUAAUAUGCACCUCAGUUUAAAACAUUAUGAAAACAGAUCCACAUACUGAUUGCCUGUGACCUAAUUUCUGCUGCUUCUUCAAUUUGACAGUUCUAUCUCAAGAGGGUAUUUUACUUCUCAGAAUAAUGUAAAAUCUCCCUAUAAUUUUGUGUAAUAUUCUUAAAAUUUUACUCACUUAAACUGCUACUAUGUUGAGAAUUUAAAUAGAGAUCAUGUUCAGACUAUGUCAACCCCAAUAUUCAGCAAUUGUUUAUUCUAUUGGAGUUUGAAGCCAAUGUUCAUUAGUUCUUGUCCAUUUACUAUUUUGAUUCUCAAAUAGAUGGCUUGUUUUAUAUCAUAUGUUAUUCUCUUUUGAUCCUUUGUAUUCAAAUGUGUUUGUAUAUAUUACGCUCUAUCCUUAGUGAUCUAAUUCAAGAAAAUGUUUACCCCCCUGCUGAUUAAUCCAAAUUGGUUACAAUGAGUUGAAAAGUGCGUACGACUGAUGCAUUAAAAGCACCCAAUGUAUCUCCCCUUUGAAGCACAAGAUGUUUGUUAUAGAAGUUUGAAGUGGUAAAAUUCACAGUAUUACUUUCACAGGUAAAAGCUACACAAUGGAUUGUAAGAUCAAUGAACAUUAGAAAGAUGGAGAGCAUUGCAGAGGAACAGCACAAAGCCGUCCGAUUGAUUUUGCAGGGUGGUGGUUUGAUUGGUGAAUGGUGACCAGGUAUUCCAUCCGAUUGAUUUUGCAGGGUGGUGGUUUUAUUGGUGAAUGAUGACCAGGUAUUUUACCUGACCUAUUUCAUCACAGUAUUAUGAUACUAGAAUUACUAUGGUGAAAUGACUUGGUGGUUGUUCUUUGUGGGCCUUCAUCUCAUUCAAUCAUGUCCUGCUCGCAAGAUUCUUACCUGAUUGGGUCCGUAGAUGUAGGCUAAUAAAUGGGCCCUAAGGAAGUUAAGUGUACUAAAUGCUUACUAUGCUCCGUGGAUCUACAAUUAAUCCAGGAAGAUGUCUCAUUAGAACACAUUGCAUGAAGUGUCACCUUCGACAUACAUUUAAGUAAUGAUGUGAUCUUUGUACAGCACACUGUUUCUUGGACUAUCUAUAAUAUAGUAACUAUUUACUUCACGGUGCACUUACUAUGAUCUCUUUUUUUUUCCCUCCAGUUCUAUCUCAUUGAAUGUUCUUUGUAAAAUUUAGUGCCAUCUCUUUGGUUUCAGUUUGCUUCAAACUGUAUUAGAAGUUGAUUUUAUCAGGAAGUCGUGUAUUUUUUAUAUCCCUCUGUGACUAAAAUGCAAUAUGUGAAAGUUUAGAAACUGAGGAUCUUAUGUUAAGAGUGGAGGGACCUUAUUCAUGAUAUUAGAAUAGUACAGGGACUGCUUGCACAUUAUAACGUAGAUUCUUGACAACCUGGGGGUAUAUAUAUGCAUUGAAACAAUCUGAGCAAAGUUGACCCACAAAGCGCUGUCCCUUUUGUUGCACAGCAGUGGCCAUUAAAUGCUGCACGCUGGAUUCUGGAAGCUGCUGAACCCUUUUCCUAUAUAAAGCCUCUGUAACUCAGCAGACCUAUUUGACCUAAGUAAUUGCGAUACCCUUACGAUUCCACAUCAUAUAAUGUGGGAGAUUGAGGGGAUCUUAUGUUACACCUAAUUAGAUUUAAGCAUUUUGGACCGGUUGUUUUGGCCCUAACAAAUUACUAGUGGUAGCAGGAUAAGUCGUUACAAUGAGUAUCAACACUGACCGACAGCCGAAAUUAUGAGAUUAGUCUCAUAUCAUUUGGUGACUUUAGGUCAGGCGUGUAGGGGCUUAAAGCCUUGGGGGGAAGUAUGUGACACUCUCGUAUAAUUCUACAUUGGAUAAUGUGAGAGAGUAAACGGGUCUUACAUGUAACUAGCACGCUAAUAACUUGCUUAGGUAUUUUAACUAAUGAUUUGGGUUCAGCCAGUUACUAGUGCUAGCAGGAUAGGUCAUUAAAAUAAUACUAUGUUUGCUUCAGAAAGUUGAUGUAAUCAGUUUCUUUGGAGGCUAUGUGUUAUCAAUCAUCUUAUGUUUUGUGUAAAUAUUUCGCCUAUAUAAGUUCUAUUGUUGUGAUUGCGCUACUCAUUAUGUUUCUUCUAACAAGUUUACUUAAGCAGCUCUUUCGCAUAAACUCUAGUUGGACCAAGUAAGCCCGUAUUCCUUGCAUUCUGUGCACUAAUUGGAGAAGGAUUCAACCUUGGUGAUUAAUAUUUUUGGUAAUGAUAAGAUGAUCACCUCUAAAUUGAUAUUUUAUGGUCUUUACAUUGGUAAUCAAUACUUGAAGCAUCUCGGGUAGCUAUUGGAAGUAUAAAGGGUAACAUUUUAAUGAUCUUUUUUAUUUUGAGAGAGAGAGAGAGAGAGAGAGAGAGAGAAACUUUUUAAUGAUGUUAGAAGAAUAACUGAGAUUGCAAAUGAUGGCAUGGAGUAUAUGACCUUGAACUAUAUUUAUUGGCAUUUAAACCAUCAUGGUCUCUUAGAACAAAGCUAAAAGGGCUACUUUGUGCUUGAAUCCAAGCAUCAAGGGUCCAACCCUUUUAAAUACCAUCUUUUAUGAACUCUCCCCUCUUGCCAACAUUUAGCAUUGACCAUCAAUAGGUAUGUGCAUUGGUAAGAGCAUUUAAGUAUACAGUUGUAACUAGCACUCAUCUCCAAGAUACUUCCAAUUCUUUGAAUGCCUCUGUAUCCAGAAAGGAGGAAUAUUAGAAAGCCUUAUACCCAUAACUACCCUUUAAUUCAUGUUGGUGGAGGGUGUUUGAGAUGGAAGGCAUGAAGCAUAUAUUAAAGUGGAUGGGAGUAUGCGUAUAUUGAAGUGGGAUGAGUGGGUGUGAGGCCCAAAAAUCUAGGAGUGAGAUUUGGUCACAUUCUUUCUCAGUAUUUCUCUCUAGGACACACUACAAUAACUCCAACCACGUUCCUUCCUCUAUGAGAUCAUAUUUAUUUAGAGGAAGAGGAAAGAGGUUGCAUGUUGGUAUCAACAUUGAUGAAAAUGAGAUAGGUAUUAUCCACUGACCAAUAAUACAACAAUUGUACAUAUGUACUAAGGUUCCAAGUUCGAAGCUAGUUGUUUAACAUUUUCAACUAAGUUUAGCAAACUAUGAAUGCCUGGUUAUGGCUUUAAUAAUGGUUAUCAAAUUCAUUUGAUAUUUGUAUAUAUCCUUUUUGGGAUAUUUGAAUGUAAAACAUUGGCACCAACUUUAGAAUGUUAUUACAACAUGUGUAAUACUAACUUAUUAACUAUAUUUUAUAUUUUAUAUUUUAUAUUUUAUAUUUCUCCUGGGUUAUCACUUAUGGGUUGAUUUGAUUGGUUCACCUUAAACUCGAUACAUUUUUUAGUUAAAAUGAGUCAAAGUUAAAAGGGUGUUAAUAACGAAAGGGGUAAAAGUAGGAGAUCUUUUGGUGGGAAUUAAUAUUUGCCAAAAUAAAAUUUGAUAAUGGCAAAGCAAAUGCAUUGUAUCUAAAUUGCUUUGGUAAUAUAUAUCACUCUCCUUUUUUGGUACGCAAACCGUGUGGGAGUACGUUAUCCACUCAGUAUUUGAUUAAUUUGCAAAUUUAAUGCAACAUAAAUACACUAGAAAGUAGAAACGGAUCCUAUACGGGGACUGAAUUUAAGAGGUAGUAAACGCUUGGAAAAGUAAAGAAUAAUUGUUGACCAAACUGAGACCCAAUUCGUAACGUUUUGUAUUAAUUAAAUUUUGGUUCACGAGUUUUUCAAGCGCAUAAUUAAUAUCAGGGCAAUUUCUUGGUCUUGUGUGUUUGAUCACUUGCAAAAGUCAACACGAUUCUCACUCUGAUUAAUUUGUAUUCUAUACGCUUUUGACCAAUCAGCACAUAUAUUAAUUGUGGCUAAUACUUUCCUGGAUUAUAUAUGUAAACAUAAUUUUUGGCAACGGUCAAUAAAAUAAAUAAAUCAUUAAUUGGUGUGUAAAAGGAGAGAUUAUUGCUUGAACCAGGUGUAUACACUGGGUCCUAAAAUUAAAGAAAGCCUGUGUAGAACCUAUUACUUACACUGUUUAUAUAUGUAAGUGGACCUAUGUGUUAUAUUUUAACUGGUGUGAUCUUAUUAUAUAUAAAUAAUUAAUAAUAAACUAAUUUCAUUAUGUGAUAUAUAGUAAAAUGAGAAGGUCACACCACCAAUAUGUAUUAAGUAAAAACUAAGCCUUAAUUAAUAUGACUGUAUUUUACAUUAGAAUUGGCUUUAAGUAAGUGCAAUGGACCUUGAUGGGGUCUUUUAACCUGUGCCUGUCCCUGUAUAUGUAGUUUGUACACCCUAUAAUAUAUUUCGAGCAAUAAAAAUACUACUUAUACACUUCAUACAUACCUAAGAAUUGAUACAAUUUUUUGAGAGUUGUAGUAAAAUAAGUUAAUAAAACAAGUAAAAUAAUAUAGUCCACAAGGCGAUUAGGAUGUAAGAUUUAUAUCUAUAUUAUAGAUAUAUUAGUAAUAGUAUAUUUUUUAAGUAAUACUAUCUGUACACUUAUAUAGAUGUAAGAUUUACUCCCUAGUCUGAAUUAACUCAUUUUUUUUCAUAAUUUUUGUAACACUAAGAAUUCAAAAGAGUUUUUAAAUCUUGGAAUAAUAGAGUGCAAGAUAUACGCCCUAUAAGGAAGUGCACAUAAAACAUUUUUCAUGUAGAUUGUGUGUGUGUAUAUAUAUACGUCUUUAAUUUUUCAUAUAUAAUAUGCAUUUAUAUAAAAUAUGAAACGUUUAUAGAUCGAGGAAACUAUACAUAUAGAACGUUAUAACACUGGCUAUGCAUGAACGUAGUAAAUAGUCUAUAAGCGUGUUGACCCCUUCGCCCCAUGCAGUGGUGCUCAGAGGUUCAGAGCCAUUAAAUGAGGGAGUUGGGUGGGAAAAGGAGAGGUUCUGUUUCUUUAUUCGUUGGACAAUAUAUUGGAUACCUCAGAACAUCAUUAUUCUAAUAAAAUAUUAAUGCAUUUAUAAAUAUACAUAUGUUAUAUAUGCUUAAACUGUAUAAACUGUGCUAGCAUACUUCUAAAAGUAUUCUUAAUUUAGUGGAGAUAGGUGAAAUAGUUGUAGAUUUAAGGAUUGAAAAUUAAGUUGAGAGUUUGUAAAUAAUAAGCUCAACUCUAAGCUUAAUUUGAGUAUAAACCUAUAUAUAAAGAAUCUUUACAUUAUCUGUGUUAAUGUAGUAUAUUAGUUGCGUAUGUAUAUAUUAUGAGGACAAGGUACGCAGGAGUACGUACGUUUAUUCUUAUACGAAAAUUAAAUGGAUUAAUAAGGGGGAGGGGGAGUUGGUUGAUCUCAGUAGUAAAAUUGGAAUCAGAAGCAACCACACCCCUCGGGCCCAUCAUGACAUUUGUGUCUAGGGUUUCCUUCAUAUAUAUAGCUAGCCAUAUAGCUGGCACCAUUAACACACACACAAAAUAAAUAAACAAACAAAUAAAUAAAUACAUAAAAAUAUGAAGUUUUAGUGUUAUGUUAUCUAAAAUAACUUUUUUAUUUAGAAAAACAGGCUUAUACAAGUGUUUAGAAAACAAGAAAUUAACGAUAGUUGUUGCUACAUAUGAGAGAGUAAUAUUACACAUGUUAAGAUCGAUAUCAUGCAUAUACAUGAUAUAUAUAUAUAUAUAUAUAUAUAGUUACAUGCAUGCUUUUAUAAUUGUUGAAUCUGCUUAAAUAUGAAAGGGGAAAGAUUUAAACUAAGACUGAUGAAAUUUUGGACCUCGUCUAAAUUUAAAGCUUAAGAAAAUUAAUUUAAUUGCAUGCGAUCGACUACACCAAUAUUUAUUAUUGAUAUUUAGUUUCAUUAAUUACAAACAAUUAUUGCAUUGAAGAUGCAUGCAUGUAAUUAAUCUCUUUGCAUUUAAGAAUUUGUGGAAAAAAAAAAAAGGAUGGCAUGCGCAAUUUCUUGUACUUACAUAUGGGUAUAUGUUAAUUUGAGGGUCCGAUAAGAUUCAUGAUGAAUCCAGUACUACUAAUUUCACCGAGUAACUGUUCUACUUAUAAGCAUAAUAAUUAAUACUGUUAAUCUUAAUAAUUAAAGGAUUUGACUACAUUGUGGGAACAAAAGAAGUAAACCACUCAUACCUCUUCACAUUGUGGAAAAGAAGUAAACCCCUCAUACUUCUCUCUCUCUCUCUCUCUCUCUCUCUCUCUCUCUCUCUCUCUCAAGCAAUAACACCAACCUAGCUAUCAAUAAAUGCAAUUGCACCCUCUCAUAUACUCAGCAAUAACUCCUCUUCACCUAUUCUCCCCCCUUUCUCCUUCCUCUUCCUCUUUCCUCUCCAUCCUUGUUCCUCUUCUCCUCCCCAUGAUCACCCCCUCCCACCCCCCCUUUAAUGGUUCAUCUUUUGCUUCCUUAGCCUCUUCUCAGAGACCAACCUAGCUAGCUAUACUUUCUUUAAUUUCUGCAUGCACCAACAGUUGCUUUCAUGCAUGCACUUUCUUCUAUUUAUUUUCUCUUUCACAAACAAAAAAAGAGAAGAGUUCUGAGAGAGGAGGAGAAAGAAUAAGAGAUCUUGGCCAAGAUCUAGGCUACUAUCAAGCAAUUUCUUAUUCUUUCCUUUAGAUUCUUGGUUGGUAUUUGCUCCUUUUUUGUAAGCCCAUUAACAAAGUAUAUACACACCUUGGAUGAUCACUAAACCUAAUUUGUCACCUGUCCCAGCUACUCUUCAAUAUUCCUUUUAGGAACCAUCAAAUUAAAGAUAUGAUGAUGAGAACAAGCAAAACACGUUUGGGGGAAUGAAGAGAGGAAGAGAGAUCAUGAUGAAGGUAGCUAGGUGCAUGAGAAAUUAGGGUUUGGUGGAGGCGAAAUAUGCCUGGAGGGAUCAUCAUGAAUCCAAUGAGACAUGUUCCCACAUCGAUGAUCGGAAGGAACGCCGGCGCCUUGUAUGGGUCUUCAUCGCCGCUUUCCCUUGGGCAGAUCGCAAGCGUAAACUCCUUUUAUGAUCUUCUAAUUCUUCUUUAAAUGUGUUUAACUUUUUGUUUAUUUUUAAGUGUUUGAAGUAUAUACAUCAUCUGAAAACGACUAGAAGAUGCAAGGGUGCAAGAGAGUCAAAGUCACUAUACAUUAAUUCCUGCACUACCCAUAACUCACAUGUAUGUUUUUACAUAUAUGGAGCCAUAGAGGCUGAUCUAUAUAUCAACAGUACAGUUUAUUUUACAUAUACAAACUGUAUUUUUUAUUCCUUUAUAUAUAUAUGUAUACAUCAUUCAAAUAUAUAUACCCAAGUUCAAGAUGUAGAUCUCAUAGUUUCUUCAACUCCCAUAUAUAAAUGCUUAGUUAAGGAUAUAUAUGUUGAGAACACUUUUAAUAACUAGACAUGCAUGCCAUCCAUAUAUAUAUAUAUAUAUAUAUAUAUAUAUACACCCUUUUCCUUUGAAAAAAAAAACAAAAAUUGGAAUGCCAUUACUAUCUUUCGAUUUUUCACUUGCCAAAAGCUUCACAAAUUAACCAUUCUUCUUCUUCUUCUUUUUCUUUUCUUAAAAAAAAAAAAAAAAUUUGUUGCAGCCAAACAUGUUGGAGGGGCAGCAACUUCCAGUACUCCAACACCAACACCACCAUCUUAUGGAGAUCCCGCAGCUGCAGGCGGUCACCGCAGAGAGCGAGUCGGUGCAGCCGGCUCUGGAGGAGGAGUUUGAGAGCAAUAAGUCGGGCAGCGAGAACGUCGAGGUCGAGGACGCCUUCGCUGACGAUCAGGACCCGAACCAACGGCCGAAGAAGAAGCGAUACCACCGCCACACCCAACACCAAAUUCAAGAGUUGGAGUCGUAAUGAUCGACGUCCAUCGACCUCCUCCUCGAUCAUUUUACUAGAAGAGCACAUUUUACUAUUUUAUUUUGACAUUUUACAAUUUGAUUUCUUUCUUAACUGGUAUGUUUACACGAAAAUAUAAAGCAAAUUAAGACUAACAACAUAACAUCCUCGUAAUUACUAAAGGAAAAUCUCUUCUAUGCUUAAUUUCUCUCUCUCCCUACACAUAAUAAUAGAUCAAAAGAGGAGGAAAAAAAAAACAUUGAUAAAAAAACCAAAAAAAGUUCUUGUCUGUGAAAUAUUUUAUCUUUUUGAUCAUGUUAAUAUUAAUCUCUACAGAUUUCAGAUAUUGUUUUCUUUCAUACAUAUGGAUUAACAUAUAUACAUAAUCAUGCAUUUUACAUCAUGCAACUUAGUUAAUUAAUACAUUAACAUCCUGUUGUUAAGAAUUUUCCAAUUCAACUAAUUAAUUAAUCAUUCAAAGGUUAAAAUGAUCAGGUUCUUCAAGGAGUGUCCUCACCCGGAUGACAAGCAGCGGAAGGAGCUGAGCCGAGAGCUCGGUUUGGAGCCCCUCCAAGUCAAAUUCUGGUUCCAAAACAAGCGCACCCAAUUGAAGGUCCAUCUCUUAUCAAAAUAUAAAACCCUAGCUACACACAAAAUUAUCAUAGAAAUAUAGAAUUAGGCUACUAUACUAUCUAUCGUACCGAGCUCCGGUACUAUAGUAUUUGUUUUCGAUUUUAGGGUGUUCAAAUCAACGAUCUACACCGUUAAAUAUGAUCUAGGGUAUAUGAAUUUCUUAGGAAUAAAAUUUUAGUUUUUUUCGAUAUCGUUUACUUAGUAAAUAAAUUAUAUCAAAAUGGACGGUGGAAAUUGAAUAAUCUUUAAAAUUUGAGCAUAGAACUUUUAAAUUCAAGAUCAAGAAUGUUAACCUUAAUUUAUAUAGUUUAAAGUAUUUUCUAUCAAAAUUUGAAGAAAUUUAGAUUCUUCUACACCGUUAAACUCCAAACUCGUCAUAAUAGUCAUUGAAAAUUGACAAUUUUGAAAUAGUUUGAUCAUAAAGUAAACUAUGUCGAAAAAAUAUAAAAUUUUAUUUCUAGAAACUUUAAAUACCCUAAAUCAGUUUUAACGGUGUGGAUCAUUAAUUUGAACGCCCUAAGAUCGAAAACCGACACUAUAGUACCAGAGCUCGGUACUAUAGAUAGUAUAGUAGCCAAGCUCUAGAAAUAUAUAUAUAUAUAUAUAUAUAUAUAUAUAUAUAUAUAGAGUUGAGCUGGAAUGCUAUCGAUAGCAAACGGGCUCCGUUGCCACCCAUUUGUUUUCGAUGAUGGAGCUUUCAAAUCGACGAUCGGCAUCGUUGAACAUAAUCUAUAUCACUUGAAGUAUUUAGAAAUCAAAUUUCAAAUCUUUUCGAUAUCAUUUACCUAAUGAUCAAAGAGUUUCAAAAUUAGUAAUUUUAAUGGUUGAUAUGAGGGGUUUUCUCGUUUAACGGUGUAAAGCUAUCCAAAUCAAUUGAAUUUUGGUUAGAAAAUUCUUUAAACUAUUUAGAACAAGAUCUAUACUCUCGAUCAUGAUUACAAAAUUUCUAUCAUUAUUUUUUAGAGGAUAUUCAUUUUCAGCCAUUCAUUUUUACGCCCACUUGAUGGACAAGAAAAUAAUAUCGAAAAAGUAUGAAAUUUAAUUUCUAGAUACUUCAAGUGGUAUAGAUCAUGUUCAACGGUGCCGAUCGUCGAUUUGAAAACUCCAUCAUCAAAAACAAAUGGGUGGCAACGCAGCCCGUUUGCUACCGAUAGUAUUCCAACUCAACUCUACAUAUAUAUAUAUAUAUAUAUAUAUAGAGUUGAGCUAGAAUACUCUCAAUAGCAAACUAGCCCUGUUACCAUCCAGUUAUUUUCGAUAAUAGAACUUCCAAAUCAACGAUCGGCACCAUUAAACAUGAUCUAAACCAUUUAAACUAUCUAAAAAUCAAAUUUCACACACUUUCGAUAUUAUUCUCUCAUCCAUCAAGUGAACACAAAAAUAAACAGAUGAAAAUAAAUAUUCUUUAAAAAAUGAUGAUAGAAGUUUUGUAAUCAAGAUCAAGAGUAUAAAUCUUAUUCUAAAUAAGUUUAAAAAAAUUUCUAACAAAAAUUCAAUUGAUUUGAAUAUCUUUACACCGUUAAACAAGAAAACAUAUAUUUCAUACCACUCAUUAAAAUUACAAAAUUUGAAAAACUUUGAUCAUUAGGCAAAUGAUGUCAAAAAAAUUUAAAAUUUAACUUCUAAAUACUUCAAGUAGUAUAGAUCAGAUUCAACGAAACCGAUCAUCAAUUUGGAAACUCCAUCAUCGAAAACAAAUCGAUAGUGAAAACGGAGUCUAGUUGCUACUACCGAGAGCAUUCCAGCUCAACUAUAUAUAUAUAUAUAUAUAGAGCAGGGCUGCUGUGCUUUUAGGAGCACGGAGGCCUUCGUGCUCCUGAGCUGUUUUCGAUGAUGGAGUUUCCGAAUCGACGAUUGGCUCCGUUAAAUUUGAUCUAGCACAUUUGAAGUUUCUAGAAAAUAAUUUUUGUGAUUUUUUGAUAUCAUUUACCUAGUGAUCGAAAGGAUUCAAAAUCCAUAAUUUUUAAUGGUUGAUAUCUGCUGUUUUCAAAUUUAACAGUGUAGAAGUAUUCAAAUCAGAUGAAAUUUUGAUACAAAAUUCUUUAUACUAUCUACAACAAGAUCAAUAUUUCUGAUCGAAAAUUUUAAUGCUAUAUCACCACUUUUUAUAGAAAUUUUAUUUUCAGCCGUUAAAAAUUAUUUAUUUUGAAUCAUUUCGAUUGCUAGGUAAAUGAUAUUGAAAAAUCGCAAAAAUUAUUUUCUAGAAACUUCAAAUACGCUAGAUCAAGUUUAACGGAGCCGAUCGUUGAUUCGGAAACUUCAUCAUCGAAAAUGGCUCAGGAGUACAGAGACCUCCGUAUUUCUAAGAGCACAGCAGCCCUACUAUAUAUAUAUAUAUAUAUAUAGAGUUGAGCUAUGAUACUUUUACAAGUAUCACCAUCAUGGUGCUAUUAGGUUUUAAGCCAUUGGAUCUACUUUUUGAUUAUUAAUAGCCAUUGGAUUAAACACUAUUCCACCUACCACCACCUACCACCACCUACCACAAUCAUCUCAACCUCACAUCCCUCCAUCCAAGGGCUAAAAACACACAAGUAUCACCCCCAUGAUACUUUUACAAGUAUUCUAGCCCUACUCUAUAUAUAUAUAUAGGGUCCGGCUACUAUCCUAUUAAUAGGAUUGGGACCCUUGUCCUAUCAAGUCGAUUUGAAUGAUCGGAACUUCAAAUUUAUAAUCGGCACCGUUGAAGUUGAUCUACACAAUUAGAAAUGUUUAGAAACCAAAUUUUGUAUUAUUUAAAAAUCAUUAUCAAGUUCAUCUUAAGAGUUGAAAAAUGAACGAUCAUAAAUGAAUAACUUUCUUAAAAUAGAGGAUAGACUUUCUCAGCUCGUAAUCAGAGUUAUCAAACAUUAUCUAAAUAGUAUAAAGAAUUUUCUAUCAAAAAUUCAAGCAAUUUGGAUUGUUUUACACCGUUAAACAAGCAAACGACUCAUAUAGACCGUCAAAAAUUGUCGAUUUUACGACACUUUGAUCACCAUGUAAACCAUUAUCAAAAUUUAUGAAAUUUAGUUUCUAGAUAUUUCAAAUACUCUAGAUCAACUUCAACAGCUCCAAUCAUCGAUUCGGAAUCUCGAUCAUCAAGAACAACUUGAUAGGACAAGUGCUCCUAUCCUAUUAAUAGGAUAGUAGCAUUAGCCUACAUAUAUAUAUAUAUACUAGUAAAAUGUACGUGCAAAUGCACGUAAUAAUUAUUACGCGAGGGUAAAAUUUUUUUUAAUAAAUAUUUAAUUUUUGGCCAUAUUUUAUAUGAUUGCUAAAUAUAUAUCUUAAAAAUUUAAAAUAAUAAUUCACGCUAUUAAGAAAGAUAUGCUUUGAAUGAUUAUUUAUGAAAAAUAAUAUAUAAUGCGAAAAUUACAAAAAAUAUAUUGACAUAAUAAAUGAAAUAUAAAGUUUGAAUAGCUAAAAAGUAUAAUUAAUAUUCUUUUAAAUAACAUCAAGCAGAAAAUUAGAAAUGACAUCUUCUCUGCAUCAUUGAUCCAAUAGCCAUCUUCUGUGCAUAAUUGAUGUCAAUAUUCUCGCUGCAUUAUGUAUCUUGAUGUUAAAGAAGGCUGCAGUAAAUGCCAAGAAAAUCAUAAAUUAUUUGGACUUAUAAAAAUUGGUAUGAAAAUUGUUAUUGCUAAAUAAUUUUUACGUACCUCCUUUUGAUCUCCUCAACUUCAGCAAUUUGUGGAUUGAUAAGUAUCUUCGUUGCGAAACUUGUUGACAAACAAACCCCUGAAUAAAAAAAAUAUUGAGUUAUAAUCAAAUAAUAAAUAUAUUAUAAUGUAUUAUUUAAAUAUAUAUAGAAAUGUACCUUUACGAAAAUCUACGUGCAGUGCAGUUGCAACUAUUAUAAGUUUUUUUUGUAUUGCAUCUUUCCACAUGCCUAUUCGGGUUGUGACAAGACUAUCCCACAAUGUUAAUCUAACGAACCAACGGCUGCAUAAUUAAAUAAAAAUAAAAUAUUUUUUAGUAAAUAAUAUUUUGAAAUAUAAUACUUUUUUUUUCUCAAAUAUCUUCUAAAAAGUUAAAGAAUAACAUACGAUUUAUUCAUAAUUAUAAUCUCUCUUUUUGGACGAUUGCCAUCGCGUCCUUUUAUAAACUCUGCCUUCUCCACAUGAACUAUCAUUCCUGCAACAUCUAUGACAAAAAAGAAAUUAUUAUUUCAAAUUAAGAUUUUUUAUUAAAAAUACUAAAUAAGAAUAGUGAAUAACAUACCAAUCAGAACUUUAUUGUUGAUGAGUUUACCCAAUUUCUCCAAAGCAACAAAUGAGUAUGCAUAAUUUGGAAAUUUUGCGAAACCUUCUGUAACUUCCUCAACUUUUGUAGCACUUGUGAUUACACAUUCGUAGUCAUUUGCUGUAAUUUUUAGUCCCGCAGUUGUAAGACGUACUCUUAUAUUAAAAAAUGUGUAGAUUUUACCCUCAAAAAUAAUUUUGUCAAGUCUUCCAACGUCAUUCCCGUAUACAAAUCCCUGAAUUUUAUAUCCCUAUAAUGAAAAUAAGAAAUAUAACAAUUAGAAUAUAUGGUUAACAUAUAAUUAAAGAUUAAUAUGAAAUUACGUACAUUUUCAUCAAGAAGUAAAAGUUGAAGCCGUUGUCUUUUUGUUCCAGGAUAUUCGAUAUCACACUUUAAAAGUAGCCUUACUCUUAUGUUGAACUGAUGCCGAUAAGGAUGUAGAAAAUGGAUUGGUGUGUAGUAAACAAUACUCAUCCUGUAAAAAACAAAAAAACAAUAAAAGUAAAAUUAAAAUUUAUAUAAUUAUAUGAAUAUAUGAGCAACAAAAUUUAAUAAUUAAGGUAUUCAAUUCAUUUAAGUGCAAUAAUUACCUUGAUUGGAUGCAAGAACCUCUUUAAAAACAAUAUUUUUUGUAUAGACUCCUUCGUGAUCCAUUUUUUCAUGUGGUUUUACUAAAAUUUUUGUAGUACUGCGCGAUAUCCCUCUAGAUAAAGCUACAUACAACUGACCGUGUGAAAACACUGGUUCCGGAAGAUAUACUCCGACAUUUGGAAUUGUUUGUCCUUGUGCUUUAUUUAUUGUCAUAGCAAAGCUCAAACGUACUGGAAAUUGUUUUCUUUUAAAUCUAAAAGGAAGAUUGUCAUCUUCUGAAGGACAUAAUGGAAUUCUUGGUAAAAAGACCCUUUUUCCACUGUGUUGCCCAUAAGCGAUCUCAGCAUCAAUUGCAUUUUUUUGGAACGCCUUACAAAUCAAUCUUGUUCCAUUACAUAAACCAUUUAUCGGAUCGAUGUUUCGCAAAAGGAUAAUAGGACAAUUAAUUUUAAGUGUAAGCUUAUGAGGUGGUAAACCACUUGGCAUCAGUGAAUUCAAAAAUUCUGUCGGAUAGUGAUUGUGAGUAUCGUCGUCAGCAACAUCAUAACUGUAAUAAACAAAUUCCGAUCCAGGAAAAUUCCGUAUUAAUUCAUUGUUUAUAUCAUCGACGUAUUCAUUCUUAGUUGAAAGUAUAGCUCGGCUUAUAAUAUAAGAAGAUAAAUUGGCAUUUUCUUUAAGAGAUGGGAAUACUGCGUCGAUUAACUCCUUUUUUGAACGCUCAUUAUUCGUAUACUUGAUCACCAUAUCAUUAGGAAGCUGAAUAUAGUCACCACAAAUAGUUUUUUCAACUCCAUCUCCAAUUCUUAAUAGAUACUGUGAAAACCACGGAUCCGACUUUGCUCUCAUAUUUUGAAUCAGUUCGAAUUUUUUUAGCGAAGGCCAAAUAUAAGAUGCCCUUAAACUGGAUUCAAUAAUCUCUGCUUUUGUCCCACGUCUUAUGACAGGAAGGACUUGUCUAAAGUCCCCUCCAAAUACCAUAAUCUUUCCGCCAAAUGGUGAAGUGCAUCCUAUUAUAUCUUGCAAUGUCCGAUCAAGCGCCUCAAAUGCAUGUCUUUUUGUCAUAGAAGCCUCAUCCCAAACAAUUAGUGUUGCUUGGCAUAAAAGCUUCGCAAUUCCACUUUGUUUAGUAAUGUGACAAAUGCUGUCUUCAUUGACUAUUAUUGGAAUUUUAAAUCUUGAGUGUGCUGUUCUACCGCCAGGCAAGAUAGCAGCUGCCACACCUGAUGUUGCUGUCGCGAUAGCAAUAAGCCCUAGUGAUCGUACUUUUGCCAACAAUGCUUUAUAAAGAAAAGUUUUUCCAGUGCCACCAGGUCCAUCUAUAAAAAAUAAUCCACUUUUUGAUUCACGGAUGUGACUCAUAAUUUCUUCAAACGCUAUCAUUUGCUCAGAGUUUAGAGAAUGUUGAGCAUUUAAGUGUUCUUCUUCAACAAUAAUUGACAAUUCGUCAUGCACUUCCCUCACCUCAUCUAUAUAAUAAUCUAUGUCAUCUAAAAUGGGUGGUAGAUCAUACAUGAAAAUCUUCUUUCCCAUUGAUUCCAGAAAGAUUGAAAUAUCACGAAGCACAAGUUGCUCGACUCUAAUAGAAUCUAGAUUACCCUGUCGAAAAUCCUCCGAUAUUGAGUUGAAAUGCAUAGUGUAUAAUGCACGUAUAUUUGAUGGCUCGCAAUACACUAAAAUUGUUGCAAAUAGUCGUCGAAGUCCUUGUGGAAAUUGAAAUGUUGAUGCCUCAGCUAAACAUUCAGAAAUACUAUCAUCAGUAUCUAUAAGUCCACGUUUUUCAGCCGAUUCUCUGAAGGUGUUACAUAUUACACCAUUAACAGUUAAAAGAUCAAUAUAUGAUGUAACUCCUCUAACAUGAUUUAGUAAAAUCCUUAAAUAAUAUCGCUCUCCUUCCACUGGGUUAGCAGCUACUACUCUACCUAUUUCGUACUUCUUCUGUCUUCUUUUCCAAUAUUUUCCAGUGCUACACCACACAUAAUGUUCUGGAAACUCUCGAUAUAAAUAAUUCCUAGCUUCUGGAUCAACUAAAUUCAUUCGAAAGUAUUCGGUCAACAUUGUUUUCGAACUGUUCUCCCUGUCAAUUACUCUUUGCAAAUCAUCAAAAUCUUUAAAUGUCACAAAAUGCAUAUCAGGUAAAUGUAAUUGUAAUGACUUUACGGGAGGAUACAUUUCAUUUAAGUUGAAUUGAUAAAUUCUCCACAUAGCCUCCGGCGGAGAUACCCAACGAACAUCUCGAAAUAAAUGAACCUCAUUAAUUUCAAUGUUACUCGAUGAUCCCUCGACAUUCACUGCUCCCCUGUCAUGACCUUUGUAUAUGUACUUGAAUAGAUACUUAACGGCUUUAAUACUUGAGCAUAUUUCAACAUUAAUAUGACAAUUGUAUCGCAUUAGUAAAUAUGGAUUGUACGGUGAGACCCAUCUGUUAUCAAGAAUGGCACCUCUUACUUUUACUCUACGACCAUUUUUUCUCCUUCGGUAUAUAGGAUAUGAAUCCUUUCCUUGAAUAGUAUUCUCAGUGAAUUGUUUAGGGUACUGAAAUCUGCAUCUCUCAUGCAUGCGUUAUGUGGCUUCAAUGCUCCACAAGGUCCAUGGAUCAUGUGCUUGACAACUAAUUGGUGGAGCAAAGGAUAUUUGAUUUGAUCGGGUAUUUCAGCAGACACAAUUUUAUCAUACUGAUCUGGUGUUGUUAUUUUGUUAUGAGAGGCUAAUAUAAUCAAAAAAUGUGCAUGGGGCAAUCCACGCUUUUGAAAUUCUAUUACAUGCACAUGCGCAGCAACCUGACCGAAUGUAUUUCUUUUGAAUAAUUGGUCUUUUAAGUCUUCAAGUUUAGCUCUAAAAAUUCUUGAAGUCAAAUCUGGACGAUCUUGUGCUAGCUCUCCAGGCCUCAGUUCUGCUUUAAUUUCAUCCCAAUCCGGAUUGCAUGUCAUUGUAAGAAAUAUAUCAGGUUUGCCAUAACGUUGAACUAAUGCCAUAGCAUCUAGAUAGCGCCGACGGAUAUCCCGAGGACCACCUAUAAAAGAUGAGGGAAGUACAAUUCGUUUGCCAGCCAUACUACCACGCACUUCACCAGAUGCUACAGUAUCAACAAUGCCUUGAUACAAAUCGGCUCGAAUUCUUAUUUGGUCCUUAAUAAUGAAAUCCAGUCUCGUUGACUCAAUCUUAAUAUACAUAUCAACUACAAACUGUUGUAAUAAUCUUCCAGAUAAUAACAAUAUAGAUUUCACAGCAGGACGAAUUUGAAGCCUAAAACAAUAGUACUCUCUAAUAGAAAUCUGUUUCCUGUAACGUUUACCAACUCCUGUAAAAAUUAGUAAAUUUAGUUAUAUAUUUAGUUUUUCAUUUAUGAAAGUUCUUUAGUCUAUACAAAUUAUCAAGAAAAAAAAAGUACAAAGUAAUUAAUCACCUUCAUUAUCAUCUAUAAUGAUAUGUUCACUUUGCUGUGAUGUUAGAGUAGUAAUACUCCUGCAGUCUACAUGGUUUGUAGAUGAUAUCCCUUCUCCUGCAAUAGGUAUAUCUGGUUGCCAUCCUGGAUCUCCAUUUGGAAAUAAUAGAGGGUACGAUAAUGGAUCAUAACAUCCAUAAUAUGGUUGAAUGAAAUGAGUAUAGUUGGAUCUAUCGUAGAUAACAAUGCUCCGCUUGUAAAAUUGAGGACAUCCAUUGCCUUCCACCCAAAUAGCUGCAACUUGCGAUGCAGUAGGUGCAUUAUAUACUCUUUGAUCUAGUUCAACACUUGUGCUUAAAGUAAUCCUAUAAUUAUCAAGUGUUCCAAUGUCUCCAAGACUCCUAAAACUUGCAACAUAUGGAUUUGUAGAUAGAAUGCGCACAAGCUUGCUAACCAUUUUGUCAUCAAGAUAAGAUGUUCUUUGCAAUCUAUGAUUGAUGUCAUAAUCAGUAUCAUAAAAGUAUAAUUGCAUGUACUUUGGCCCAUCUUCCUUUGGAACUAACUGAUCCAAAAAGUGAUAUAUUUGUCCUUGUGCACGAAAAGUGUAUAUACCACCUCGCAUAGAUGCACAGUCUUUAUCAAGUCGAACCCCCAUUGACGUGAAGGAAAAAUGAUUAUUAUAUCUUCGGAUAUUGCUUCUAAAUUGAGUUGAUUCACUGCUGUGAGUUGUGAAAAGUUGGUAUAGUUCAUCCGGAACUGUUGGAUGCACUAAAUUAACCUUUCCGUUCAUGCAACAGAAUGCUGGAAACUCAUAUUGAAAUUUUUUUGCCCCACAAUAUACGCAAUUUCGUUGUGUCUUCAAAAUAUGAUGCUUUGUGGGUAAGUUAUGAUAUACAGAAUAGUCAAUACCAUUAUCCUCGCAGCCACCAGAGAGAUUUUGUUCACUUUCAACACUGUUGGAAUUGACAUCAAUGACGGCUAUGUCGGGAUAUUCAAAACCCAAUCCUAUCAAAAUCAUUUAAAAUAAUUAGUUGUUAUACGCAAAUAUAGUUGGAUUUUUUAUUUAUAUUAUAUUACCUUCAGUUGCACUGUCAUUUGUAUCAACUAAAUAGUUAAUUCCUUCGUCACAAUCAUCUUCAAAUUCAUGAGCACUAUCUGUGGAAUAUAAAAAAUUAAGUCUAAAUUAUUAAUAAAAUUAAAUAAUUAUAUGUUAUAAAUUUAUAUAUUGCAUGAAAAAAGUUACAAUACCUUCAAGGGCAAGGCUUGGUUUUUCUAAAUGACUGCUAUUUGAUGCUUCAAGUGACACGCCAGAUUCCCCAAUUUGAUUCUCCAAAGGCACACUUAUAAAAGUAUGACAGCUUUUAUAAGUUUCGCGCCUUUUGUUACGCCUCAUUUCUCUUUCUUCAUUUGUCAUACUUGUAUAUCUCUCGCGAUUAUACAUACGUUUCUUCUCAGCAAAACUGACUGCAUCAAAUUAAUAUUAUAAUAAAUCAUUGAAUGCUAGUGAUAUAUUUGGAAUGUAAUAUUCAUAAUUUCUCUUCUCUAUUACCUUCUGUCCUGGUCUCAUUUGUACUAUUUUCUGAUUCACCUAUGAUAACUGAUUCAGCAUUAUUCCUUUCAGCACGUAGAUUACGUCUCCUUCUUAGUCUAUCUUCUUUUUCUUCAACUGUCAUCCGAGCAUAUCUUUGACGAUUAUAUAGACGUUUUCUUUCAGCAGGCGCUACUACAAUAAAUAUAAUUUUGUAUAAUUAAUAAAUAUAUAUACCAUACUAAAGAUCAUUAUAUUAUAAAGAGCUCUAAUCAUUAAAUAUCCAAUAAUAGGUACCUUGUUUCCCUUUAUUGUUAUCUUGCCUACUCCCUUCCAUUUGUUUGAUGAUCCUAUAAAUAAUUCAUCAGUUGGGAUUGAAUUAUAAGAUAAUGAUAACUUUUAUUUAUGUUAAUAAUUUAGAAUUUAUGCGUUUGUCAUAUAUGUUGCCCUAGGAUGGAUUAAUGAUCGGUGAAAACCUAAUAUGAACAAAUUGUGGGGUCUGGGGACUAAGAUGCUAAAGCUUAAAAGAUGGGAUCAGAAUAGAAACGACAGUCAAAAGCCGAUUUUUCGCUGACAUGGUAUGUUCCUAUACACGUUAUGAUCAUCGGAUAGCGAUGAUCAUGAAUAUAAAAUAUGUUAUAAGUAUUAGGGGAGAAGGACUUCCCGUUGCUUUGUUAUUUGGAUAAAUCCAUGCAUGAUUGAUGUUGCAUCGUGAAGAACCAUUCAUCAUGAUCAAGGAAUUAAAAAAAAUCAAGAAAAAAAAACAUAGACCAUCCAUAAUGUAGAGACCGGGAAUUUUAGCUGAGGCUUGUCGACAGCUCUGGAGAGUGUCGGGUCAAGUCCGGGUCGCGUUGGCGCGAAGUGGACGCCAAACGGGCCUUGUGGGAACUUGAGAGCAGCGUGUAUCUUGAAGAUCUGCGAAAUAGCAGAUUUUCAGUGAGCUGUACCGGUACACUUUGACAGGUAUGGUGCUGUUUGACUUUUUCCUCUCUAGUCUUGUCACCACUUUUCCCCUUACCUUAAAAGCAGGGAGGAGAGAGGGGGGAGGGCUUCUUCCUCCUCUGCUGUGCUUCUUCCUCUUCCCCCUUGGCUGAGUAGAGGUGGUGGAGGAGCUCAAGGGAGAAGCUCAAGCUUCGUCGACGACGCGCUGCGGAGCGGAUCGAGGGUGCUUUCAACAUUGUGACGCUGCGAGGAGGCCGGGCGACUGCUGUCCCUUACCAUCCUCGACGUGGUGCUGCUCCCAGGGCGGUUGUCGAGGUGAGUAGGCCACCGAAAUCCCUUCAGUUACUUCAAACUACUCCAUUAUCGAGCUUCUCUGCUGCUGCUGCUGAUUCCAGUGUCGACUGUUGGCGUUUUGGCUUGUUCUCUGUGUAGGGGCGUCGGAUCGCGGUGAUUCUUGCGUCAUUGGAUCCGGGACUUCGAGACGAAUCCNAUAUAUAUAGUUGAACUGGAAUGCUGGUAGUAGCAAAUAGACUCCGAUGUCACUCAUUUGUUUUCGAUGAUGGAGUUUCCAAAUCGAUGAUCGAUAUCAUUGAAUCUGAUCUAUACUACUUAAAGUAUCUAGAAGCUAAAUUUUAAAUUUUUUUGACAUCAUUAGCCUAAUGAUAAAAAUUUUUCAAAUUUUGUAAUUUUAAGAAGUAAUAUGAAAUAUAUGUUUUCUUGUUUAACGGUGUAAAGAUAUUCAAAUCAAUUGAAUUUUGGUUAAAAUUUUUUUAAAAUUAUUUAGAAUAAGAUUUAUACUCUUGAUCUUGAUUAAAAAACUUCUAUCAUCAUUUUUUAAAGAAUAUUAAUUUUCAUCUGUUCAUUUUUGUGUCCAAUUGAUGGAUGAGAGAAUAAUAUCGAAAAAAUAUAAAAUUUGAUUUUUAAAUAGGUGGUAUAGAUCAUGUUCAAUAAUACCGAUCGUUGAUUUGAAAGUUCUAAUAUCGAAAAUAAAUGGAUGGCAACAGAGCUGUUUGCUACUAACAGCAUUCAAGCUCAACUAUAUAUAUAUAUAUAUAUAGAGAGAGAGAGAGAGAGAGAGAGAGAGAGAGAGAGAGAGAUGCUGCAUGUAAUGUUUUAGUCUUAAGCUCGGCUUAUCUUGUAUGUCUUAUAUAUUCUUUCACUAACUAAUGUACGAUAGUUGCAUGCAUGUUCUCUUCUUGUUUCGUGAUAAAAAUAAAUAGGCUCAGCAAGAGCGGCAGGAGAACGGCCAUCUGCGUGCCGAUAACGAGAAGCUGCGGGCGGAGAACAUGAGGUACAAGGAGGCCCUCGGCAAUGCUUCGUGCCCCAACUGCGGCGGCCCCGCCUCCCUCGGCGAGAUGUCCUUCGACGAGCACCACCUUCGCAUCGAGAAUGCUCGCCUAAGGGAAGAGGUAUUAUAACAUAAUUAUACACACGCUCACAUACGUAUACAGAGAGAGAGAGUUCAUCUGCUAUACUAUUGACAGUAUAUAAAGUGUUUACUAUUAAUAUUUCUAUCCUUAGAUUAUUACUAUUCUACCAACCCAUACUAAAUCCUAGACAUUCAAAGGUCAAAAAGUUAAUAGUAAACACUACUUCCAUACUAUCAAUAGUAUUCCAGCCACAUUCUAUAUAUAUAUAUAUAUAUGAAUUAGGCUGGAAUACUAUUAAUAGUAAAACGCUUUUUUACUAUCAAGUUUUUAACCUUUGAUGAAAAAUUGCAGGGUCAUAAUUUUGUUUUUAUAUAUAUAUGCACUAUAGUUUUAUUUUUACAUAAUUUUGUUUAACACUGUGUAUAUAUAUUGGAUUGGAUGUCUCGAUGUCGUCCAAGAUUGAUAGGAUAUCGGCAAUAGCAGCAAAGUACGUCGGGAAGCCGAUAGCGUCAUACCCGCUGAUCCCCGAUUCAUUCUCGUUGCACUCGCCGUUAGAAUCGUUUACUGAUCAUCAUCAUCAGAUGCUCGGCGGUGGGGAGAUACUAAGGAGCCAUUCAGAGAUCGAGAAGCCGAUGGUUAUCGAGCUCGCGGUUGCUGCCAUGGAAGAGCUCAUCAGGAUGGCUCAGCUCGGUGAGCCGCUCUGGACGCUGGACGGACGCUGCACGGAGAAACUCAACGAAGAAGAGUAUGCGCAGAAUUUUCCGAGAGGUAUCGGGCCGAAACCGUUCGAUCUCAAGUCCGAGGCGUCGAGGGAGACCGCGGUAGUUAUAAUGAAUCAUAUCAACCUUGUUGAGAUACUAAUGGAUGUGGUAUGAACAAGUUUUGUUUCUUAUUAGAACUUUAAAGCGGAUUUUAUGGCCAAUUUUUCGAUCACCUUUUACGUUUGUAACUUCGCAGAAUCAGUGGCGUACAAUUUUCUCUAGUAUUGUCUCGAGAGCUACUACUUUGGAAGUGCUAUCAACAGGAGUUGCAGGCAACUACAAUGGAGCAUUGCAAGUGGUAUAGAUUCUGAAUUAAUCUCUUCAUAAUUUAAUGUUCUUAAUCCUUGUUAGUUCAAAGUAGUCCAAUAUAUAAUUCUCCUUUUCAAAUGUUUAACUUAGAACAUGGAUCGAUGGAUCAAACUAAAAUCUAGAAAAUUCAUUAGAUGUCGGCAGAGUUCCAAGUACCGUCCCCGCUCGUCCCGACGCGAGAGAGCUUAUUCGUGAGGUACUGCAAGCAACACGCAGACGGAACCUGGGCGGUGGUCGACGUCUCCUUGGACAGUUUACGCGCCAAUAGCCCUGCAACGCUUUGCCGACGGAGGCCAUCGGGCUGCUUAAUCCAAGAAAUGCCAAAUGGUUACUCCAAGGUAACUGCACCAACUUAUCUUAAAGCUAAUUCUUCUUUGAUCAUAUAUACGCUACUCUCAUCCUUUGAACUUUACUGCUAUUAUUUGAGUUAUAACUAACAUGGCACAAUUUGAGUGUGUCUAGGUGAUCUGGGUUGAACAUGUUGAUCAAGUGGAUGACAGGUCUGUGCACAAUAUAUACAAGCCCUUAGUGAACUCAGGACUCGCAUUCGGGGCGAAGAGAUGGGUUACUACCUUGGAUCGGCAGUGCGAGCGUCUGGCGAGUGUGAUGGCGAGUAAUAUUCCCUCCGGCGAUAUCGGCGGUAAUUGUUUACUAACCAUCUUGUUCAUUUAACUAAAAAUUUUAGUAACUAAUUGCACCAGCAGGGGCAUCCAGAACAUUUUAGGAUGUUUCAUAUUGGUCCAAUUGAGUCUCCAAGCUUCGAUUUUGAUUGCAAUUUUACCCUUUUCCACUAAAUUCCUUGUGAUUGCAAUAUGAGUAAGUUAAAAAGUUGGUUAUAUGGUAGGUAGUUGGAUAACAGUAAUCAUAUGAACAUUUGUCUUAUUUGUCAGAAAAUUUUAACAGAAAACAUAUAAUUACACCAGAAUACAAAGUUUAGAGAUCAUAUAGCAAUCAUUUACAUGUUGAGGACCAAACAGAAACUGCAUUAAAAGGUCGAGAACUAGAAAACUGAGAAUUGAAGUAUAAGAUAUUUUGGUUCAUGCAUACCUGUGUGUGUUUGCAGUUAUAACAAGCGCGGAAGGGAGGAAGAGCAUGCUGAAGUUGGCAGAGAGGAUGGUCAUAAGCUUCUGCGGGGCAGUGACGGCCUCGACGACCCAUCAAUGGACGACGCUAUCAGGGAGCGGUGCCGAGGAUGUGAGGGUAAUGACGAGGAAGAGUGUUGAUGACCCCGGUCGGCCUCCUGGAAUUGUUCUCAAUGCUGCCACCUCCUUCUGGCUUCCCGUAUCACCGAAGCGGGUCUUCGAUUUCCUCCGCGAUGAGAGCUCUCGGAGUGUGGUAUCAUCUGUUCACCUCCCCCCUCCUCCCCUUCUCUCACUCCCUCUCUAUCUCAAGUUGAUCAACGAGUUCCGUAUGUUAGCUGUAUGAAAAAACUGUUAGUGCUUAUUCAAAUAGAUUUGGUAAAGCAGUACCUCUAUAGAAGUUCUGGUCAGGCCAAACAAGCUACUAUUCUCUGUCAAUUUAAACUUUUUCUAGAGAAAUUGGUUGUUUGAGAUCAUCCAAGUCUCUCGCUUAUAACUGCAUGUGCAUGCAGUGGGACAUCCUCUCCAAUGGCGGCGUUGUUCAAGAAAUGGCUCACAUAGCUAAUGGCAGAGACCACGGCAAUUGCGUAUCUCUCCUCCGUGUCAAUGUGAGUUUACGAUAUUCUACAAAUCGACAAAAAUUCUCACACUCUUUCCUUGUAUGUUGGUUUUCCUUACACCUCUACUAUUCCAUUCCUCAACAUAACAGAUCUCUUUGGAAUGCUACAUACACUUUUGUCUAUCUCUAGUAUCUCUACUAACUGAACACACAUUAUUGGUAAAUUGCUAUCAAAAUGUAGAGUGUGAACUCAAACCAGAGCAAUAUGCUGAUACUCCAAGAGAGCUGCACCGAUCCGACGGGAUCAUACGUGAUAUACGCACCAGUGGAUGUCGUGGCCAUGAAUGUUGUGCUGAACGGCGGCGACCCCGACUGCGUCGCACUCCUGCCAUCAGGCUUUGCCAUACUUCCUGACGGGCCCUCUGCUGUGCCCGGUGGCACCACCGUAGAGGUCGGCUCUAGCGGGUCUCUUCUGACGGUAGCAUUUCAAAUAUUGGUCGAUUCAGUUCCAACCGCGAAGCUCUCGCUCGGGUCGGUCGCAACAGUUAACAGCCUCAUUGCGUGCACUGUCGAGAGGAUCAAGGCUGCGGUGUGCGGUGAGAGCUGACGGCCGGUGAAUCUGAGAGAGGUUAAUGACCGAAUGGUGAGUUAAUUGAGGUAGCACUACAAUCCUUUUUGAGUAAUGGUUUUGCAUCAAGUUCAACUUCUACUCUCUUUGUUCUCUAACUUUUUUCAUUCUUUCCUUUCUUUUUCCCUCUUUCAUUAACAGGAGUUGGGGAAUGAUUUAGAUCAUAAAAGUGGCGAGUCAAGAACGCACCUCAGACUCUCCUUGCCAUGUGGUGUUGGCUAUGCAUUGUUUGCAUCUCUCUCUCUCUCUCUCUCUCUCUCUCUCUACACCACCACCACUAUGCAAGGGGUGUUGGUUCGGGUAUUGACUUUCCCUCUCUCUCUCUCUAAAAGUGCUUCUACCUACAAGUUUUCUGAGGCACCUCUCUAUCUAGUUUCCUAGAUCUGUUAUUUGUUCUUCUUUUGUAAGUGUUUUCCCUUGAAGUGAUAGUUGAGAAAUACUCUGUUGUUAGUUUAUGUGACUACUUUGGCUCCCAUCUCGUGAAGAUCAGGUGUUCCUAGAUCAGCAUGCAGUUAUAUUGUUAUCUCGUUAUUAAUAUUAUCCGGCAAUUGGCUCUAAUAAAACACCCUCGUAGGAAAUGCGUGCAAAUAAAUGAGAUUUCCAAAGGCACUUUGUAGGAGUAAUUGCAUAAUUUCACAUAUCUGCAGAUUUUCAAACUUCAAAGUAACGGAGGAGACAACAUAUGUACAUAGCUAAAGCUUUCCGGUUCCAAGUCAACUUCCUAUAAUACACUACUGGCUAUAGAAACUAUUCAAAACGUUAAGAAGAAAGUAUCAAAACUAUUGUUUAUUCCUCAUUGUGUUUUUUAAGUCAAAAGUUGGACAUAGAACAAGAUGGUACCCAACAGUAGUACAAACCAACAUUGGCAUGAUGCUGAUAUUCCCUCUCUAUAUUCGAAAAAUGGGAAUUAAGAUCCUAUGCUUAGAGUUGAAGGUGCUUUAUAGCUGUUUGCACAUCCUUAUCCCCUCGGCCGCUGCAGUUUAGUACAACCUUUGUCCCAUUCGGUAGAGUCGGGCAGAGAACUUCCAAGUAGGCCAAUGCGUGAGAAGUUUCUAAUGCUGGGAUGAUGCCCUCCAAUCGAGAAAGCCGCUUGAAAGCUGAGUACAAAACAUAUUGAAAUAUGAUACUGGAAAUACUUCAAGAACAGUCGGAUCAAUAAAAUCAUAUUGAAAUAUGAGCCAGUAACCACACAUAACAUCUAAUAAGAGCUGCAGAGGAUAGUCUCAUUUUACUGUAUUUGGUUUCUGAUGGAUCCUUCCGCUCCAUAAUAUCACUACUUAUACAGAUUUUCAUGUUGGUUACUAGCCGUGAUGCUAUUUCACAAAAAGAACCUUCACCAUAGCUGUUCAUUCUUUUUGAGUGAACUUGAAGCUCAUUCAAGUUCACUUGAUAGUUUGCAUUCUUCUAUGAAAUACUUUUGCUUCACAGAGAUAACAACUCACGGUAGAAGCGUAACACAUGAAUGUUCAAUUUCCCAAUGGAACAGGUCAGGAGUAAAAAACAUUAUGUAACCACAAGCAAUCAAUUGUCUGACUCAUUGGGAUAGCAACUAAAGUUUGUGUGACAGAGGUUAUAGAAAAAAAUAAUUGCUCAUAGUCUAACCUUCCAAGGCCUCAUGAUCAGUGAUGCUAUAGUACUCUGCACGCCCAAUAUCCUUCAAGUAACUGUGCUCUGGUCCAACACCCGGGUAGUCCAAACUAUCAAUAAAAAAUGAAGAAGAAGAAGAAGAAGAAGAAGAAGAAGAAGAGAGGUUAGACAUAAUUUUCCAAUUCCCAACCAGGAUAACAAACAAAAUCAGAAGAACCGUAAGGAAAUUAGAAACUUUUAUAACUGACCCAGCACUUAUCGAAUGAGGCUCAACUAUUUGUCCAUCCUCAUCUUGCAAUAAAUAACUCAUUGCCCCAUGCAGAACCCCUACUUCACCUUUUGUUAAGGUCGCGGCAUGCUUCCCACUAUCAAGUCCAAACCCAGCAGCCUCCACACCAAUUAAUCUAACGUCUUUAUCAUCGACAAAUUCAUGAAAGAGUCCAAUCGCAUUUGAACCUCCGCCAACACAAGCAACCAAAACAUCGGGCUUGCCACCCCACUUUUCCAUCGCCUGCUUUCGAGUCUCCUUGCCAAUAACGGCAUGGAAUUCUCUGACCAUCAUAGGAUAUGGGUGUGGACCUGCAACAGAGCCCAAAAUGUAAUGGGUCGACUCCACGUUGGUCACCCAGUCCCUUAUGGCCUCUGAGGUGGCAUCCUUCAGUGUUGCAGUCCCAGAAUGGACAGCUCUUACCUGCUUAGAAGCCAACAUUACAUAGAAGUGAGACAAAAAAUCCUCAGACAUCCCAUGAUUUUCGCCGCCACAAUUACUCGAAUGAAGGCAUCCGACGAAUACAUAAGCAGCAACUGAUAGCAAAAACCAUAGACCUUGAAUAAAUUGCUAAGAAAUGCAAAUGCAUUGGAAGUUCAAGAAGGGAAAACAGUCCAAGCCAAACAUACAUCAUAUAAAUAAAUAAGAAAUUUUAUCCCGUACCGACCUCUGCCCCGAGAAGCCUCAUCCUGAAAACGUUAAGGGCCUGCCUCUCCAUAUCUUGAGCACCCAUGUAAAUUACGCACUGCAAACCGAAUCUCGCACAUACAGUCGCAGUGGCAACACCGUGCUGACCAGCUCCUGUUUCAGCUAUGAUGCGCUUCUUUCCCAACCUCUUUGCAAGCAAAGCUUGCGCUACAGCAUUGUUGAUUUUGUGGGCGCCGGUGUGGUUAAGAUCUUCCCUUUUCAAGUAUAUUUGCGGGCCCUCACCGUUGGCACGUUUAUAAUGUUCUGUAAGGCGUUCCGCAAAGUACAGCGGGCUCUCACGGCCAACGUAGUCUCUAAGAAUACCAUCCAAUUCUUUCUGCACCAUGGGAAGUCCAACUAAAAGAUUAAAGAAAAACUGAACCGACGGCUAAAUCAGGGAAGCAUGAGAGUUUGAAACAUUCAUAUAAACAAUACUGGUAACAGAACAAUUAGACAACAGUAAAAUAUUUGUUUUUCUGAUGCUUGCUGAAGGCUAAAGCUGCUAACAUGCCGAAAAGAUUAAUUUGAUCAAUCAACAAAUGGGCAGCUACAGAUGAUUUGUAAAAAUUUAGCUAUCCUCGAUAUUGGUUUGUUAAAGCUAUGUAUACGGGGAAAUCAUUAACAAGAAUAAUCUCGCUAUUUGCUCAUCAAAUUAUUUACCCACUAUCAAUAAAUGUGAAACACAUCUACUAUUUCAUCCUAAAGCUAUGUACGUGGUAAAUACGAAGCCUGAAGCUUUUUCAGUUGUUUAUAAUCUUCGGCGGACGUAAAAUUAAGCAGAGCGAGAUCAAAAUAAUUAGCAAAAAAAUCAAAAAGAUGCAAACUUUAACCGAUCAAAGAGCUAAAAACGAAAACUUUGACCACCAUUAGGAAUCCGAGCACGAAAAUCGACACGACCUGAAACUCAGCGUCCUUGGAGAGGGAUCGAAACGCCUCCUCGAGCUCGGCUAGAGCGUGCAUUAGGGUUUCGGGGACGUACUUCCCGCCGAACUUCCCGAACCUUCCGAACGAGUCCGGCCUCGCCGCCGCCGCCGCCUCCACGGCGGCGGGCUCCCGCGUGAGCGUAUAGGCGACGGAGACCGGGGGUCGCAUCGCGGUGGCGCACCGCCGCGGGAGGCGGAGCUCCGCUGGGAUCGUCCGGGGGAGGAGGAAGGAGGAGAAUGAGGAGGAGAAGGCCGAGGGCUUGGAGAGGGUAGGGUUAGGGCUCCUGAGAGCGGAGGAGGCCAUGGAGAGGGAGAGGAGGGGGUUGUGGUCGAUUUGGUGGGUCACUCCUCGUGGUGACCAAAUAAAGAAAAUGGUACAUAUUUCUCUCAAUUUUUUUUUUUUUUUCAAAAAAAGGGUCCAUGUGACACGAUAGAAUUGGGAAUAAGAGUUAGAUUACCGUCAUGUAAGAGUACCUAUAUCUUCAUGGGUGUAUCCUAAUCAAGAUUUUAAGUGCCCGUCGGCACGAGUCGUAUCCAUCGUGCCGUACCGUGUCAAUAAGAUACCGACACGAUAUAGAUCCCGUGCCGAUGGCACAGUUCAAAACCCUCUAUUUUUUAAAUUAAUAAGUAAUUUCCUCAAUAAAGUUCAAAAGAUGUGAUAAAAAGACAUAAUAAAUAAUUAGAAUAUUUUAUUGCUAAAAAAAUUAAAUAUUUCAUAUUAUUAUAUGUCGGCACAUAAAAAUUUUUUUGACCGGCACGCAUCGGCACGACUCAGCACGCACCGUGUCGUACCGUACCGGCAAGUUUCCGGCACUACCCCGUGCUACGGCACUUAAAUCCUUGAUCCUAACCACAUUUUUUGCAGUGACGUGGCGGGGUGAGGUUACCGGGAGUAAUUGCACUUGUAUUUCGCUGAGCUGGACGUGGUUUGACCCUCCGAAUCUAGACCAACAUUGCAUGGACCAUGUCUAUAGACCGUGGACUCUAAACUUACAUCUUAUGCGACUUGUUAAAUAUCGUUAAAUUUGAUAUAGCGACCAUAUUCAAUGAAUAAUUGAAUACACAAUUUUGUGUACACGAUUUAGAGCUUAUUAAAAACCAAAAAAAUCACUUACUAUCCUACUUACAAAACUGGUUCAUGGUGGACCAGGUUCAGGGAAUUUCCCCCGGCAUUGCGUAAUGCGUUCGUUCCCCCACCGUUCAACACCCGAACCAGAUAGUAAUAUGAAUUUCUUCCAGGGAUCUAUUUGCAAAUAUUCAUUUCAAAAACGGAGGAAGCAAAGGGGGUCUCUCUUUACACCAUCCAUGAACAUAACAAUAACCCGCGCCAAAUCCACCACUCACUUCUCCAAACUCGUCCACAAUUCCAAUCCCAAAUCGAACCCUCACACCUCACUCAAUCUUCACACUUCCUGUUCAAACCCUAACACGAAACCAUCUCCCACUUACUCCUCUCUUCUCCAGCUUUGUAUCGAUUCCUUCUCCAAAAGAGCAGGUAGAUCCCUUCACGGCCAUGUUUUAACAGCUGGGUAUGGCUUAGGUUUGCAUUUGAGCACCAAAUUUGUGAUCUUUUACUCGAAAUCUGGAGACACCGACGCCGCUCGAAGGGUGUUCGAUGAAAUGCCCCAUAGAAGUGUUGUUUCAUGGACCGCGAUGAUUUCGGGGUACUCGCAAAAUGGAUUUUCAGAGAAAGCUCUGAACUUGUUCUAUGUAAUGCACAAAUCGGGUAUCGGAGCGAAUCAGUUCACAUAUGGGAGCGUUCUGAGGGCCUGUUCUGUAAUGGCUUGUGUUAGAAGUGGCAAGCAGAUUCAUGGGUGCGUGGCAAAAAGCAGAUUUGUAGGGGAUAUCAUUGUGCAGAGUGCUCUAAUGGACAUGCAUUUGAAAUGCGGCUCUUUUGAGGAUGCUUUGUGCUUGUUUAGGAGGAUAGAGAGGAGAGACGUGAUCUCGUGGAAUUCGUUAAUUGGGGGCUGUGUGUUACGUGGAGUUGUUGAUAACUCGUUUGAAUUGUUUUCCUCGAUGCUGAGAGAUGGUAUGGUAUGGAAUUUGUUACUUAAUGUUGCUGUGAUGUUUUCUGUUGUUGUGCUUGCUUGUUUUCUUACUUUCCUCGAGCUUCACUGAAACACAUUGAAUUGUAUGUAAUUUACUUUGUGAUUUCACUGCAGACUCAUGAUUUAUAGUUAAGUUUCUUCAGUUGAUCAAAAACAUACACAAUCAUCGGCUACUUGUUGUUUGGAUAACUAUUCGCCUGUAAUCUUUUGCAGCUAUUGAGAUGUCGGAAACUCACUGGUAGUCUAUGUGUUAUCUUUGUUUAGAAAUGCAUCAUGAUUUUGUAUUGACCUUCAGCUGGGAUCUCGCAUGAAUGGCAUACAAUUACUUGCAUUUAAGCUAGGCGUUUUCAAACUACAGAUUCUGUGAACUUUUCCUCCUUUCCUGAUUCACAAUCUAUACAGGUCUUCUGCCCGACCAUUUCACCUUCGGAACUAUUCUGAAGGCUUGUGGUAAAGUUAAAGCUCAUUCAUAUGUGGAGCCGAUUCAUGCUCUCAUUGUCAAGUUGGGUUAUGAAGAUGAAUCAAUUGUCACAGGAUCGCUAAUUGAUGCAUAUGCAAAGGGUAGGAACAUGCACAGUGCGAGAACUCUAUACUAUUCAUUGCAUAAAAGCGACCUUGUUUGCUCUACUGCAUUAAUCAGUGGAUACUCAAUGGAGAGAGAGCACUGCCAUAAAGCGAUGGAGCUCUUUAGUGAGAUAAACCACAGAGGUAUGAUAGUAGAUGAAGUCAUUUUGUGCUCUAUUCUCAAUGUAUGUGCCAAUGUAGCUUCUUUAAACUUGGGAAGACAAAUCCACGCUCAUACACUUAAGAACAAGUCUAGUUUUGACGUGGCAGUGGCCAAUGCUCUCAUUGACAUGUAUUCUAAGUCAGGAGAGCUUCACGAUGCUCAUCGAGCCUUCAAUGAAAUGCAGUAUAAAAAUGUCAUUUCUUGGACUUCACUGAUUGCCGCGUAUGGAAAGCAUGGGAUUGGAGAAGAUGCAAUAACACUCUUCAUUAAAAUGGAAAAUGAGGGAGUGAAGCCAAAUGAUGUCACAUUCCUUUCCAUUCUCUCUGCAUGUAGCCACUCUGGUUUGACUAAUAAAGGAAUGGAGUAUUUUAAUUCUAUGGUGAGUGAGUAUAAAAUCAAACCGAGAGCUGAACAUUAUUCUUGCGCUGUUGAUAUUCUCUGUCGAGGUGGUCAAUUAGAAGAAGCCUACAAGUUUGUAUGUGAGAUGGAUGCUAAGCCCAAUACUUCACUUUGGGGUGCAAUGCUAGGGGCUUGUAAAAUUUAUGGUAAUACGGCCCUGGGAGAAGUUGCUGCUGGAUUUCUUUUUAGUUUAGACCCUGGAAGGUCUGUAAACUACAUCGUCCUUUCAAAUAUGUAUGCAGCAGUAGGUUUAUGGGAAAAUGCACAGAGAGCAAGGAAUUUGAUGAUCCAAAAAUUUACAAAGAAAGAAGCUGGAAGUAGCAUCAUCUACCUAGACAAGGGUGCCAUAUAGAGAAAAUCAAGUGUCUCAGAUUAAUUGACGUAAAGUGAAGUGAAGAGAACUUCUACAAAUACAGGUAACUUUUCAAACAUAUACUGGUUAAUAUGUUCUUAAGGUGAAUCUCUUCUUGAAGAUGCCAUAUUUUCUUUAGCUCUCCAUUCUGAUAUAGUUUGGAAAGGCCUGUUUCUUUUCUCAUUUUACUGCUUUGUUAUUUGCUAAUUUCUCUGGCUUUUUGAAGAAAUUUGCUGGAUUAUAUUCACAACUAAUCUUAUAUUUCAUCCUUUUGAAUUCCAGAUUGCUUCAGUAUACAUAAAAGCUAAGAUGACUCAGAAAUUCAGGUUAGCAGGUAAUGUCUCUGUGUUACUUCUGUUAGUGGUAAAGAUUGAGUUGAAAUUUCAAAGCGCGGUAAGAUGUGUGGCUCCGAAUUACUGUGUACUUAGCUUUUUGUUACUCUUCUAUUAGUUUUGUUACUAUUAAACUGUUUUGAAUUGAAGAAUAUAAGUGGAGUAUAUAUCAGGCAUUAAUCCUUACAACAUACGAUGCUGAGGUUCCAGAAAAUUAUAGUUCAAUUUGAUUUUACUAGUACCUGGAUGAAUAUAUGUUCAUUGCAUUGGAUAAGAAUUAAGGACUUGAGCUCAACUAAAGCACAACUAUAUGGCCGUGAGUGCGGCCCUUUGAACCUCAGUUAAGAGAACCUGACCUAACCAGAAAUAUAUAAUACAAAUUCCCUAGAUUUGUUAUAUUGCUAAUUUCGCUCUGACCUCUAAAAACUUUCAAUAUAGUUUCUUACAGAGCUUCCUCUCCCCUUCCCAUAUUGUCUGCGAGUAGUGAAUUGUUGUAACACUUGCCCAACAUCACCAAUUCUAGUCUUGUAGUUAAAGUUUCAUCACAAUGACAUAGAUGUUGAUAAUCCAUGCCAUCGGUUUUGAUGUUAGUAUUUACUUGUCCAGGGGCUAAGUGCUUUCAGGGUAUUAGAUGUGUGUGUGGUGGUCUAUGUUGGUGUUUUCUGAUAGAAAUUCACAGUACUUUUAAUAAGACAUGUUUAACAAUCAUUUAAAUUAUUCGAAUCUGUUUUUAAUGCAUCCUCUAGUACAUCUAAUUAGAAUUGACGUGCAGUAUGCACUACAAUGUAAAUGAUCACUUAUAGCAAUGCAGCACAAUCCUGGAAGCAUUGUCUAUGCAUCUAUACUAGUAACUAUAAUUAGUUUAGCUCCAUUAUCUUAAAAAAAAAAACUUUAGCUAUGUAAUGCUUAUACUUGGACUAGGACCUAGAUAUUUUUUCUGUAACAAAUAAAAAGCAGCCAGGGAAUCCUUUCUAAGCUCUAUCACGGAUCUCCAUGAGUUGCUUUCCCCUCGAAAACCUUAAUAACAUCGCCAUCCUUGACAUUGUGCUGAUGGAAAGAGUAAUCUUCAUUCAUUACUUCUUUAUUGUGAACGAAGAAAUAUUUGUCAGGGACAUUUAAGUUUAUCAUAGCGUAUGCUCUACGCAAUUCAUCCCUUAGUAAACCCACUUUAGAGUGCUCUUCCAUCUCGACAUGUAUAACCAAACUUCCAUUCAUUGAUUCUACAGGUAGAUUAAGCUUUCGACGAGCGCGAGUUGCUGGUGAUGACGAUGCUGGAGGCGGGGUCCUUUGAGGCCCCAAUCCAGGGUUAGUUAUGACUAGUUGAACGGUAGAACCCUGGAGGAUCUCAUAAUGCUCAGUGUCGCGGUCAUUGAGAAGAUAAUGGCCAUUGAAAAUUAACUUCUGGGAAGUGACUGGGUAGCCUUUGUACUUCUCGACCUUCUCUUUUAUUUCAAGGACAGUGUCGAAGUAGCCGAUUUCUAUGGUGAAGGUCUCCCCGGCGGAUGUCACAAAGUUUACAUCCAUGAGGCUACAGGGGCCGAGUUUCUCUCUUUUUGUUUUCCUUUUUGUUCUUCUUCUUUUUCCUGAGGAUGUUUGUUAUUAACAAUGUAUAGAAGAAGCUAAAGUAUCGAAAUUUUAGCAUGCGGCUUCUGUGAAUUCAGAAACUCAGAGUUCAUGUUCACUUGGUAUAAUUCUGGAAAUGGAAAUCAAAUGCUUCUCAACAAAAUAACUCCCUCUCCUCUUCCCUGUACUGAAGAGUGGUGUUUCACAUUUUUGUGCAUGCAAAUGCUAUCAACAACACACUUUGUGAACCACUGUUUUUUUGUUAAAAAAAAAACUCUAUAUUUUCUUUUGUUUUGAUAAUGCCUCUUCUUAGAAAUCCUGCAUCCCUGACAGAUCAUCUGUGCUUGUUUUUCCCUACUGUUCAAUAAUUUUUGCUUGUAUUGUAUAUAAAUGUUUUUAACAACAGUAAUGAUUUUACUGAGAUUUUCUUUUUAUUUUAGUGAAUAACUCCAACUAACUAUUGGUACUUAAGAGAGAGUUGAUGCGCAUGUUAAGAUUCUGUUCAUUAGAAACUACUUUUGGUACAAAGUAGGAGCAUACUACUUUUGUGAAAAGAAAGGGAACUUUUUGAAAACUUUUUAAAGUAAUGUACGGAGACCCCAAUAAAUAUCGGCGGUUUUGAAAUCGGUCCCUGAACUUCCUUUUGGCUGGGACAUUAAUGAGCGAAAAUAAAGUUCCGAGAUCUACUUCAAAACGACCUGUAGUAGAGGGAACUCCUUACGCUUUCACCAAAAAGAGUAAAAAAGGUAAUAGAAAUUAAAUUGAUCUAAGAUAUGUAAGGAACAAAGAAAAUAAUAAUAAUUAUAAUAAUAUAACAAAGUGAUACACUGAACACACAGCAACAAUCACACAGGAACAAAAUGAUAUACUUUAAAAAUCGUGCAACAAUAAACUAUUUGAUGCUUAGAAGAACGAGUCCUGCGGUAAAUAUUUUUCAUAUUUAGAUCAUAUUUUAAUGGCUCUAAUUAUUAUAGUUUUUAAACAUUUAUGCAUACACGCCGUCGCUACAGUCAAACGGUGGUCCAAAUUAGAUCUUACAGUAUAAUGUGAGCUUGUCUCUAUUAACAUCUUUAAUUAAUUAUGUUCGACCGAACACCUAUUAUUUUAAAUAAUCGAAAACGAUCGUUAUUUUCCCGAUAGUUUAAAUUACUAGAGAACGAUAUUUUUAGCAUUUUGUAUCCUCACAUAAGGAUUCGAAACGUUUUGGUAGAUUUAUAACACGGACUAAAAUUAGAUGAAAGAAAUUAAACUAAUGACGGUCUUGUUACAAUCACGUGAACUUCUCCUUAUUAACAUCUCUAAUUAAUGCUAACCUUAUUCCAUCGCUACGUUGAAUAAUACAAAACGAUCGCUUUUUUGCGAUAACUUAACCUACUAAAGAGCAGUAUGUUUAAUAUUUAUAUUUUCAGACUCAUAACGUAGACUUGAAUUAGAUGAGUGAAAAUUAAAAAAAUUGAUGACGGUUCAAAUACAGCUGUUACAAAUCACGUGAGCUUGUCUCUAUUAACAUCUCUAAUUAAAUGCUAAUUAAACGAACACCUACUAAUCGCGGAGCAUCUUCAGUUGGCAUAAUCGAACCACUUUAUAACCUAUACUUACCAUAUUGAUUAAUUAAUACUGUGACAAAUAUGUUUUUGACCUAUGUGUAUGCGCUGAUAUAAGAGAUUUUAAUUGAAUGGUUCAUGCAGUUCAUGGGACGAAAGGUAAUCACCAAGAACAAAAAGCAUUGUAUGCUUUUCUAGCCCUUGGCCCGUGUUUGACACGGGCUGCUAAGUUUUUUUUUUUUUCCCCUUUUUUUUCUCAUGAUUUGAUUUGAUUUUUUUUUUUUUAUACUUUUCUUCUCUUUUGCGGGAGGAUUUACUGUCUCACCCCUGUAAUUUAGUUCAUCAUUAAUUUGAUGAAUGAAGCAGGUGACAGGUUACCCUUUUCUCUUUUUCUUUCGGAAAAAAGUAAAGUAUUGCAUGUUAACACUUGAGACUAUUCUGAUUUAUUAAUUUCGAUAAUUGUUGUUUGUUUUAUCGGAAUCAGAUUUCGAUUCUCAUUUCAUUCUUGGCUAAAAAUGGGCUGAUUUAUUUUGUUAUCCAAUGCGACUUUGAAUCAUGAAUUGAUCUAUUUCAGAGUAAAUUAUUCAAAAGAUUCUCUCACAAAUACCUCUUCCUCUUUAUUCCUUCGUCACCGUUUGAAUCGGGUAUAAGCAAGAAUUAGCUAUUACAGGGAUAGAUGCAAGUAUGGGGAUAAAAAAAAUAGCAUUGGGAUGAAAAUUAGGUUGUUCCCAAGAUAAGAAAAAUAGCGUUUAGAUAGAUAAUAUGGAAUAAAAAAAAUAAUGAGUAAUUAUAUAUAGAAAAUAAAAGUAUUGAUAAAAAUAGUUAUACCAGCUUAUUUCAAAUACUCAAUAAUUACUAUUUUUGAGUAAAAAAUUAACAUUUGUAUAUAAAAAGAGGAUAAAGGUUAUUCCACCCCUUAUUUCCAAGUUCCAACCCAAACGGGGUUGCUUUUAAUCGGGUGACAUGACGUGUGUUCUUUGUUCAGAAGAGUUGGAGACAGGUCGUCGAUCACCUUUUCACUAUCUUAGGCUUUUCCAGCUCCCUAUUGGAGAGUUUACUACGUAAUAAAAGAAUUUUUUGCGUAAUUAUAUUUCAUUCGGUAAGUUGUGGGAAGUAAACAGGCGAGAGAGUUAACAACUAUUGUCACUUUUUGGUGGGUUAUCUGAUUGGAGCAGAAUAAAAGAUAUUUUUUUUUUAUAAAAAAAGCUCAUCGUAAGAGAGAUGUUGGAGAAGAUCUACUUUUGUAAGACCUUGCUACUUCACACUGUAGCCUUGUUCAUGUUUUGAUUGAAUGAAACAGUAGCACACAAUCUAUCUCGCAAAAAAAAAAAAAAAAAAAAAAAAAAAAAAAAAACUUUUCCCCCGCCCUCGUCAAGGCCUUGGUUACCUCACUUCUGUAGCUUGGUUCAUCUUUCUAAUAAAUGAAGUGGGUAAAUGCUACCUUUUUCUCAAAAAAAAGAACUCUCUUUCGAAAUUUUAAGUGUUUUAAUUGUUUAUUUCAAUUUCAAUUUCAAUAAUGAACCAAAUAUUUUUGAAUGAUUCGUCGUUCAAUUUCUCAUUCCAAUACAAUUCAAUUUUAUUUUUCAUUAUUAUUCCGACUAUAAACUAAACACACUGUCAACGAAAGUGACUUAUUUAACCAGCUCUCUAAGUUAUUCUAAACGCUUUAAAUUUUGUAUGAUACCUGUCACAGUAAGAAGAGGGAAAAAAAACAAAAAAAAGAAAAGUUAAUGCUACGCACACGAAAAGAAAAAGUUCACGGAUUUGCUUAAGGAAACUUUUACAUUUUGGUACUAUGUAAAUGAUUGUUUAAAUAUUAUUAUUGCCCAUAUAGAACGAUAGCUACCCCAGUAAAAUGACUUGGUCUUCUUAAUUACCAAAUUUGUACUGGUCCCUCUUGCUUAUUCCUUAGCAUGUGGGCAUGCAGGGAAGUGGGGUUUUAUUAUUUAACAAAUAGCCUAUCAAUCUAGAUCCCUCAAGGCCACAACUAUAUAUUAUUUGUACCACACCUUGUGACUAGGACCCCUACCAACCAUAUAGAUAGAUAUAUAUGGGCUAUCCUAAUAAAUUUAACUGUAAAAUCCUGUGUAGGGUUCAUCUUGUUGCUUAGGGUUCGUUUGAUUCGCUAGUAACUUCCGCAAAAGUACUUCUUAUGUACAUCUACUGAUGUUAGGUUAAUUCUUACGAUUUUCAACCUCAAUUUGGAGUUUUGUUUUCUAAAUUUUAGAUUAGCAGUUUUCAGAAUAGCCGAGAAGUUUAUUCUACAAACUGAAGCCAAAGAAGCACAGCAAGAUAAAUUAAUUUGUUUCUUUCUACGAUUUAAUUUGUUUGCAGUUGGUAUCAUUUACCUAUGGAAUUUGAGGUUCAAAAUGUGUUGAUCUUUUUGCAGAGUCCAUGAGUUUUUUCUCUUUCUUUUUCUUUUUCUUUUUUUUUUUAUCCUUUGAGGACACAAGUCCCACAAGAAGAGAAGGAGAGCUAUCAAUUAAUAUUGUCUCCCUAAGUAGGUCAAAAUUAAUACUUAUUAUGUUGGCAAAUUAUUAGACCCCACUCACAAGUUGAUGAAUUCAAUUAGAAUUGUUGGAAUAGUUUCAACUUUCAACAGGCCGUGCUCAUUUUAUAUAUGAAUCAGGAUCAAAAAAUUUCAUAUAUAUACGAAAUCGAUCUUCUAACCACCGAAAACGACAAGUUUUUUCCGAGUUAGGUUUAUUUCAGUAAGUAGUUAGCAUUAAAAGAACAACAUAAAGUAGCCAUUUGUAUUUAAUUAAUCCUUCGAGGAUUACCAUAAUCCAAUAACAAUGCUUUAAAAAAAAGAUGAAUGGAAACAUGUUUCCUGUUUCCUACUAUAUAUUUAAUUUUGAGAUGGGGCUAGAGCUCUUUGGAUCGAUCGUCCUGUAGCAUAAACAUGCUUAUGUGUUAACCAUAGCUCUAAUUGUCGGUGACCGCGCGUGACGUAAACCUAUAUUACUUAGUAAUGGGAUUAUCGAAUCAUUCGAAUUAAAUUAAAUAGCUUGUAGUUUAUGUAGUUCAUUAGUUUAAUCCACCUAUCCGAUUUGAAACGUGUCUCUAAAGCUUUUUAUGUUAAUUAUAUUCUAACAACUCAUUUUAGAUUACGUGCCGUAACUGCACUAAAGAUUCCAGAAAAGAAAAGGUACCAUCAAAUCUUGCGACUCCUACUUACUAGUCCAAUUCUUGGAUUAUAAAAUAUUGGAUUAAGUAACAAAUUAGCUGUCCAAUGGUCCGCACAUAUUUUAAAGUGCUUUUUUUUAUGUAAAUCCAUGCAUUAAAGUUUGAAAAGAUGCAAAAAUUUACACUACCUAGGCAAGCUUUAGCGUAGUCCUGCUCGGUCGUAGAUGAAAGUAGAAUUUAAACUAAAACUUUGAUUUUCGGAUGGUUAAGCCACUUCGUGAUUUGUGCAAUUCUCUUGAUAAUAUAAUUUUUAUUGUUCAAAUUCUACUCCCAUUAGUAAUCAACCGGUUAAAAAUGGACAUGGCAUUGCUGAAAGGCUAAUUAAUACUGAUUAAUUUUUGUUAUAAUGCAGUUGCUAGUCUUCUAAUUUUGUCAUAAUAACACGAAUAACAUCAAAAUUUGGAUCACCAAAAAAGGGAGUUUAAGGAUUUUGGUCCACAAUGUAUUAUCAACUCCACAUGCUUAAUUAUUAUAUAAAUAUAUGCAUUAUGACAGAACAUGAUCACCCAAUAUUGCAUUUUCCACAAGAAAGUUAAUAAAAAUUGGGCACAUGUCACAUCUGGGAGCGUGCAUGUUUAAAAUCCUGGGCUCCUUAUGUGCAUCAUGCAAGGUGAAAUGUCCAAAUUAUUGGAUGGGAACAUAUAUGUAGACAAAGCCAAGGGAAAGAGCAUCGAAACCAGCUGGACUGUCCCGUACUGUAUAAUUAUUCUCUUCUCCAUGAUGCCUCAAAGAUAAGGAAAAAAAAAAAAAAAAAAGCUGCAUAGGCCCUUUGGAUAAAGGAGAGAGAACUAGAUAGAGAGAGAGAGAGAGAGAGAGAGAGAGAGGUGCAUGUACCAUGCUUGCUAACAUUUCCUAUGUCCACCGACCGUCCCUAUCGCACGUGGCAAAAAAGUUUGAUGGUUGGUAUCCGAGACUCAAGUUCGAAUCCUAAUUGAUUCACAUUUCAAACUAAGUUUAUUUCUAUAUAAAAUAAAAUAAAUGAAGCGUGUAGCAUGCUAUUUAUCUCUCUCAAAAAAGAAAAAGAAAAAACAUUCCCUAUGUCCCCGACCCCCCAAAAAAAGAAAAAAAGAUGUACAGAGACAUCUUGAAUUUUAGAUAAUUUUGCAAAUUGAGGCAUGAAUUUUCAAUUAUGAUAACUAUAUUUAAAAAAUAAUAAUAAUUAUCAAGUAACUCAGUGGAUCUCUCUCCUUAAGUGAUUUUAUUAAUUACAUGACAAUUUUGAUCAGAUGUCGUACACGUACGUAAUCCUGCAAAUUUCAAAAUAUAUAAGAAAUAAUUAUUUUAUGCUUCAAAUUUUACUAAUUAAUUAAGCAUGGCAAUUAGAGAAUAGGUUGAGUAGAAUUUUAAUUUCUAUUGCUUUUCUUACAUGUUCGUAUACAAACAUAUGCAAUACAUACGAUCAAAAAGAUUACGCAAUUAAUAAUUUUAAUUAAAGAUACAAAUUUAUUGAACUAAAAUUUAAAUAACGUAAUCGCUAAAUUUAAAAGUACAGAUGCCUACUUACAAAAAAACAAAAGUUCACGGGAUCUUCGGACAUUUUUCCCAAAAUAAUAUGUAUCAUCAUGCCUCGUUAUUAAUUAAAAAGGGAGUGGGUGAGAUGGUUGCUUUGAUUUGAUACCCUAAUGUUGGAGUAUUGUGUAUUAGACUUGGUCCGCAUGUUAGUUAUGAACUGUUCGUAUUAACAUCUGUCCUUGUCUUAAUUACAGUACUGAAGAUUAGGCAAUGACUCAAUAAUGAGGCCAGGAUAGGUGAAGGCACGAGAUCGGAAUCCUAGAAGAAAGUCUACUGUUUUAUAUUUGCACCACAUCAGCAAUAAUAAGUCAAUUAUAUUUUUUUAAAAUAUUAAUAAUAAAAAUAUUUUUUAAUUAUGAUGUGAUGGAUUAAUUCAAACGAAUUUAUUUGGUUGAUUGGGAAUGUCACGUCGCCCGUAUAACUAGUGCGUUUUAAAAUAUUUCGAAUCCUAGAUAGAGAGGUUUAGCAUAAGAGAGAGCCAAGCUCUUUAAUGUACAUAAUAAAAAGCGAAAAAAAGUACAUAACUUUUUUGAAUUUUAGCUCAUUUGUAAAUAGACGUCUGCGCGUUUGGUUUUGAUAAUUAGACUUUUUAAAAUUUAUCAAAUAGUUUAAUAGAUCCUUCUCUUCGAGUAAUAUUAUUAAUUACAUAAUUGUUUUGGCCAUAUGUAUUGCAUAUAGCUUUAUAAAGCUUUAAAAUGUAAAAAAAAAGAAAAAAAUUGUAUUUUUGUGUUCUAAUACGUAGAAAGAGUGACAAAAAUUAAAAUUCAAUUCAACAAAUUAUUCGACCGCAUAUUAAAUUAUCAAAAUUAAAAGAAAAAAAAUAUUUUUUUUUAUUUUCAAGUCUUAAAAUAUUAUAUGUACCACACCUGAUCAAAUGAUUAUGUAAUUAGCAAGUUCACCGGAGCACAGAAGUUAGUUAAAUUAUUUGGUAAAAUUUAUAAAAUAUAAUUAUAAAAUUAAACGUUCAAAGCGCUUGGUUUUUAAAAGAUCUAAAGUUCAGCAUGUCUCAAUAUAGUUUUUUCAAGUCCGGCUGGGAUGCGUCUGCUAGCAUCACGCAUUUGGUGUUAUCAAGUUUUCCGCUGUUAGAUUUAUCCUUUUGACAAUUUUCAGUUGUUAGAUCAUAUUAUUCAACCAACCACCCACUCAAUUCUAAGGGACUAUUAUCAUUCUAACUUCAUAUCCCUUCAUCGAAGGACUAAAAAUCUAAUAACACUGAUGAUUUGGUGCCAUUAAAAGCAUUUCAGUCAAAUUUCAGUUUUCCUAUAAUAACAAAAUAAAAGAGCCCCACUUAACAAUCCCUCCCACCAAAGUUUAGAUUCCAAAACCUCUUACUAAUUGUCCUAUUGAGACACUGGAGAGCUGGUCCAACAACCCUUCACCUCUUACUAGUCCAAAUUUUUCGCCACUCUAUAAGUAAAAGAAGACACUGUGUGCACAUGGCUGUCGAUUUGUACUCGUAAGAGAGAGAUAGAGUGUGUGUGUGUGUGUGUGUGUGUGUGUUUUAUGCUCAUCUCCUCCCUGGGGACAUUGAGACACAAAAAAGAAGAGAAAAAGGAGAGAGAGGAGUGUUAGUAGAUGGUACAGAUUCUUGAGUGAUCUGAGCUCUCACCAAUCAGCCAAAGAAAGCAAAAAAAAAAAAAAAAAAAAAAAAAAAAAAAAAAAAAAAGGGGUAAAAAAAAAUGAGGAGGAGGUUGAGCUAUUUGAUUUGUGUGAUGUGUGUAGUGUUGGGAUUUGUGGCCUGUGCAGAAGCAGAAGCUGAACUGAAGCUGGGGU